UUGUCGGUAAUUCAGGCUUUGGCAGUUCCGGAAGUGGCGGCAACUCAACUUUCGGCAGUGAUGGCAAUUCUGGCUUUGGCAAGCUCGGUAUGUCAGGAAGGUGCGGCAAUUCGGGCUUCGGCAGUCCGGGCACCUCGGGCAACGUCGCCUCCAAAAUUCGGCUAGCGCCAACCGAGUUCUUGCCGAUCAUCAAGGACAGAGCAAAGACAAACAAUGCCAAAAGAUGUGCAAGUCCACGAUCAUUCGCCAUCGCAGGACCGAUCGACUAGCAAAUUUAAAAACUUCGAGUGAAGAAGCGACGGAUCUCAAGUGAGGAGGUGCAGGUGUGCUUGAGCAAUGGCUUGAUGGAGGGUUUAUAAAGAGGAGGGACGUGGGGAUUGGGGAGAUUACAAGUAUGGUUUGGUGGGAUUUUGUCGAAGUGUUAGUUCGACUUCUAGACCAAUCUCAUUUCCGUUUGUUCAACAACAAGAUGGAGCAGAUGAUUCCAGAAAGGACCUUGCCAAUUAUUGGCUUUCAACGCUUGUAAACCAUCAGUCGUGCUGGUAUUAUAUAGCUUUUGUUUUGGUUUUCCUAUAAAUAGUUAAUUGGUAACCGUACUUCUAUCAUGAACUACGAUCAUUGUAAAUGAUAUCCUAAAAAUGACCAUCCCGACACACGCAAGCUGAUUUACAUAUGAAAUGAAAAAACUGAGACUAGGUAAAACUAUCUAGAACUAACGUCUUGAAAUAUCUUUUCCGCAAUCCAUCUCAUGUGAUGGAAUGAUAGCCAAGCUUGCAAGGUUUUUCAAUUAUUUGAUAAAUUUUAUACUAUGUUCUUUGACUAGUAGUACACGUGAUUGAUGAACGAAUUAAAGAUCAACAAAUAUUUGAUAACCAACGCAAUACAACCAGAGAAGUCUCAAAACAUAUCUCAAAUCUGAUAUAAUCGUAUGCUUUUAUGGAGCAGAAUAUAAAGUAUAUAUGUAUCUAUUGCGGACCGGUUUGAAAUUGGUCUACUAUCUUAUAAUGACAUUCGAAAAUUAAAUGAAAAACUUCUUUUCUUACCGAAAUUGAAUCUUGAGAAUUUUUCAAGGAAAGUAAAAAUAUAAAGAAAAAAACUCAAAAAGUUCUUUACCGGAAUACAUAUGUGAAAAGUAAGUCCAUUCAAUUUAACGAGAAAGAUUCUUUUCUUUUUCCAAAUAGAUUGAUAAGAUUUUUUGCGGAAAGUAACAAUUUAAAGGAAAGUAUCUUAAGUCUCAAUCUAAAUAUAUUUAGGUGAUAUUGUGUAGUAUUAUGUUUAGACAGAAGUCUUUUUAUUUUUUUCAAGGAAAUUUUGAGAGAGAAGAAUAUUAAAGAUUAACAUAUAUAUCAAAUAUUAUUUAAUGUAAUAAUGAAUGAGAAAAUGUCUAUGAUUAUUAAUUUAAGUAAAAUUGACUAUAUGAGCACGAUAAAUGAUGUGAUAUAUAAAAAAAAGUGUAAAUAUAUCUAUAUUUGAGAGAGAGAGAGAGAGGGAGGGAGAUUAACUUUUCACCCGAAUUAGAAGUUUGAGCUAAAUAGAUUGACAUUAUGCAAAAAAAUAUAUCAAGAAUAGAAAAAAAAAUGAUCUAUAAUGGCUAAGUUGUCUAUACAAUACAAUGUAUGCCAUGUUAUAGAAAACAUCGAUAAUAUUUAACGCAUAUCGAUACUAUAACAUAGAUCUUAAAAUUACUUCGGUUCAAUUCAAUACAAAAUGAAAUAAAAACAACUAUUAGAGUUAAUUUUACUUAAUUGAAGAAUGAUGAUUGCUUGAAACAUAAAAAAAUAGUUGUGUCAAAUUAAAAGGGAAAAUACUCUAUUAUAAAUUCAAGUUUAGUAAAUAAGAUGUUCAAUAAGUGGAUUUAUAAUUUAUAUGUAAGAUAAAUGAACCUAUAUCACUCGAUCAUAUAACAAACAUGUAAUUUUGCUGAUUUUUUUCUUCAAAUAUUUAAAUUCUAUGAUAAGUUAAAUGUGUAUAAAGUAGAUAAUGAGUUUUAGUAAACAUAAAUUUGAUAUAUUUUGAAAUAUAAAACACAUGAAGCAUAAGAAAGUGUACUAGUUUUUUAAGAAAGAGUAACUAUAGCAUACUCUGUCGACGUAAAAGAAGAGUUACACAAGAUAUCAUAAACUAUCAUACAAAUAAGUUCCAUAAUUCAUAUCACAAACUGUCAUACAAAUGACUAUAUAUAGCAUAUAACAUUCUGAGGUGAACACUGACCAUUACAAUAGAAGUAAUAGAAUACAAAUUCAUAUCAUAUUGAAUCCCGACUACAAGUUCACAUCACAACAGUUCAAGGACUAGUAGCAGCGACAGACAUGUCCUUCGGAACAGAAGGAAAUGUUGGCUUAGGGAAAUCGGGAAGGUGAGGCAAUUCAGGCACUUCUUGCAAUUCUGGCUUUGGUAAAGUUGGAAAUUCAAGCUUUGGAAGUUCAAGCACUUUUGGCAAUUCUGGCUUCGGUAUUGUUGGAAAUUCAGGCUUUGGUAGUUCGAGAAGUGGUGGCAAUUCGACUUUUGGCAGCGAUGGCAAUUCUGGUUUUGGCAGGCUUGGGAUGUCGGGAAGCUAAGGGCCUGUUUGGCAACGUGCCAAACAGUGCUAGAUUCUGAUUUUUUGUUCCCAUAAUCAGUUUGGGACGAGAAUCGCGUUUGGUAAAUUUUUUGUUCCCGGGAACAAUUUUGGACAAGAUUUGAGAAUUAAAAAAAAUUUGAUUCUCCGUCCGAGAAUCAGAAAAAGAAUCAAAACGGUGAAACCCUCGCUCUUCCCUUUCAUCAUCCUGGUUGCCGUCCAUCACCGCCCGCCACCGUCCGCCAUUACCCGCUGCCGCCGUCCGCCGCCGGUCGCCAGAGGCUCGCCAGGCCAGGGCGAGGUCCGGCGAGCUCGCCGGAGGCAAGCCUAGCCACCGGCGAGGUCGGCCUGGCCACCGGCGGGGCUGGGCGAGUCUUGCCGGCAGCUGGGCGAGGCUCGGCCUCGCUAGAUCUAGCAAGGCCGAGCCUUGGUGGGGCUGGGCGAGCCUCGCCUAGCUGCUAGCGAGGCUCGACCGACAAAGGCCAACCUUGCCGAGGGUCGGCGACCAGCCAUAUGAAGAAGAAGAAGAAGAAUAGGAAAAAAGGGGAAAAAAAAAAGGAAAAAAGUAAAAAGUAAAAAAAAUUAUUUGGAACAUAAUCAAUUAACACGGUAUUAAACGCAAUUCUAUUCCAGAAUAAAAAAAUUUGGACAGUUACCAAACGCGCUUUUUUACUCAGAAUCAGUUCCCGGGAACAGAAUAAAAAAUAAUCAUUUCUAGUCAGAAUCAGCUCCUGAGAACAGAAUCGUUACCAAACGCGCCCUAAGGCAAUUCUGGCUUCGAUAGUUCAAGCACUUCAGGCAAUGUCGUGUCCAAAAGUUGGCAACUCCAACGUGGUUCUGGCCGAUUGUCAAAGACAAAGCAAGGUUAGUGAGUCCGCAAUAGUUCGCCAUCGUGGAAUUGAGCGACUAGCAAACCAAUAAACCUUGAGUGAAGAAGCGGUGUGUUUGAGCAAUGGCUUGAUGGAGGGUUUUUAAAGAGGAGGGAUCUAAGUAGCACCGACAUAUGACACGGACACGCGACACGACACGACAUGACACGUUGACACGGCAUUUAUAAAAAAUAGAGAAUUUCAACACGUUGUGACAUGUUAUAUACUAAAUGAAUAUUUUUUAUUUUUAAUUAAUUUAAUUCAAAUUCAUAAAUAAAUAAUUAAUUAAAAAAAGAGUCUAUAAUGAAUUUACACUAAUAAUAUUAAUAAAUCAAUUCAUUAGAAAUUCGAAAGAUAUAAUCAUAGUUAAUGCGAAACAUGUUUUUGACUAUAACAAAAGUUAUUGAUGAAAUUAAUGACUAAUAAGAAAUUAGAAUCAAUUUAUUUAUAUAAAUCCACGAUUUUUUUACAAUGACCAAAAUUUAUCAUUAUUCAAAAUUCAAUACUUUUAUUUUUCGAAAUUAUUUUUUAAUCUCAUUUAUUUAAUUUUCCAAUUAAAAACAAAAAUCCCCAGAGGUCCACCCCUUCUUUCCCUCGUCCAUUUCCCUCGACCCGAAAUUUAUUUACUGUCGGGCACUCCACCACUCCUGCAAAACCACCUGGCAAAGAGGCUGUCACUUCCCUCCCCCCAAACUCAAAAAUCACGCCAUCAAUCCCCCCCCCCUCUAGCCACCCUCCUUUUCCUUCUCCUUCUCGCCGCUGGCCGCAUGACCCCCUCCCCUUCCUCUCCUCUUCCUCUCGAUCCUUCUCCUCCUCCUCUUUGCCGCACGACCACCUGCCUCUCUGCACGACCCCCUUCCUCUCCUCCUCCUCCUCCUCCUCCUCCUCGUUGCCGAUCCAUUGCAACAGUGGCGGCCCUCACUUCAGUUUUUGCUCUCUCUGACCGUCUCUUGCUGUUGCGGUGGUCCGUUGUGUGGCUUUGUCUCACUAGCAGGAGUUUGCUUUCUCUGUCUUCUUUCCCUCCAUCGUCUUCUGGACACACGUGUCGAAAUGUGUCGAGAAACGUUGACCACGUGUCCGACCGUGACACGCUCCGACACGUGUCGGACAUGACACGGAAGCAUGGGCAACGUGUCCAUGCCUCAUAGGGAGGGACAUGGGGAUUGGGGAUUGGGGACAUUACAAGUAUGUUUUGGUGGGAAAAAUAAUCUAAUUGUUGGUUCAACUUCUAAACCAAUCUCAUUUUCUUUUGUUCAACACAAGAUGGAGAAGACUCCAAAAAGGUAUCUUGCCACUUCUGGGCUUUCUAAGCCUGUAACUAUCAGCUGUGCAAGAUUUCUCAGCUACGCCGGAAAAAGAAACGAAAGGAGAUGGUUUAUGAUAUCACUCUAUGUACUAGGACGUAGUCCGGAGUUUUGGUUGAAGAAGUCAAUAAUUUAAGGAUAAAAAUCUAAGUUUUGUCAGCGAUCAUUGUACACGAAAUGUAUGCUUAUCUUAAACUUGUCUAAAUUUAUUAAGUGCAUUAAAUAAAUUCAUUAACCUUCUCUUCAGUUUUCCAUUCCCUUUCUCUAUUAUAUCCAUUCACGUGCACUCAAUACUUUCCAAUUUCAAUUUCUAUGUAUCCAUUUGCAUGCUAGAGUUAAGGAUGAUGGUCACUUACAUUCAAUUUUUUUUUUUGGGUAUGGCUGGCCUUUUUUUCACCUAUAAGAGGGUAGAAUAUUUCUUAUUCUGGUCUUUAUUUGCAUUUCAUCUCCUUUUUUUCUCCCCAGAAAUGGAUCUUAGUUGCAAAAUUAAUUCAUGAGAAAUCGAUUUUUCUUUUUCUAAUUUAAUCUUGACUUGCUAUUGAAUGGAUAAUCGGUUAUCAUCACUCCCAAUUAGAUUAGAAAAAAUGACUACAUCUCAAUAUAUCAAUUUACAUCCGAACUGUAAAAAAUAAGACUCGGCAAUAAUCUAUUUCUUAUGUAUGGAUCAUCUUUCUUACCGGUAUCUCGAAAAGCAAAUGAAUUUUUUUUUUUUUGGCAUAAACAUUUUUGUUGAGUGUCUUAAAAAAUUAACUACAUUUAAAAAUGCAGCAAACAUACAAAGAGAUAAGAGGAAUGGUGAGGGAUUUUGAUUUCACGUGAAUUAGCAAAAACGAUUGAGCACUUAUGAGCUGAAACUUUCUUCUAUGCAAUCCAUCUUAAAUGACAAUAUAAUAGCCAACCUGGCAAGGUUUUUUUUUUAAAACUAUUUAUGAAUUUUAUAUUAUGCUUUCCAGAUAGUAGUGUACGUAAUUGAUGAACAAACAAAAGAUCAAACAAAUAUUUAAUAACCGACUUAAUACUACCAUAGAAGUUUCAACACAUAUCACAAAUAUGAUAUAACCAUAUUCUUGCAUGUGGUAGCUUAUUAACUAUAAAUGUAUCUACAACACACGGGUUUGAAAACUAGUCUAAUAUAUAAUAGGGGCUUCUGAACAUUAAAUGCAUUCAAUUUAAUGAGAAACAUUCUUUUCUUAUCCAAAUUGAAGUUUUAGAUUUUCUUUUUUUCACUUGAAAUAGAAUUAGUCGCAGAAAAGAGUGGGAAUAUGCGAAACAAGAUCCAAGAAUAGAAAAAAAAAUGAUUUAAUAACAGUAAAGUUGAGUAUGAUCUGCAUUAUAUAUUAUUUGAUAGAAAAAGUACAUAAUGACUAACAUGCAUCAAUACCAUAACAUAUAGCGAAAAAUUACUUUGGUUUAAUCAGAUACAAAAUUUAGUAAAGUACAAAUAUUAGAGUUGAUUUUGCUUGACUAAAGAAUGAUGAUUGCUUAAAAUGACAAUAUUUGUGCCAAAUUAAAAGGAAAAAUAAUCUACGAUAAUUCAAUUUUAAUAAAAUAUGAUAUAUAAGAUGUUUGAUGACUUAAAGUGUAUUUAUAAUUUGUAUGUAAGACAAAUGAACCUAUCUCAGUCCAUCAUAUAAUAAAAGAUGCAUUUUUUCUGAUUUUUUCUUCAAUUGUUUAGAUUAUGUCACCGUUAUCACUCUAAAAUAUUAAAUUCCCAUAUAAGUUAGAAGUGAAAAAAGUGGACAAGGAAGUAACAUAGAUAUCUUCUAUUUUGAAAUAUAAAACUCGUACAAAACAUAGGGGAGUGCACUAGCUAUAUUAAAUAAGAGUAAUAAUAGUAUACACUAUUGAUGUAAAAAAAUAGUUACACAAGACAUCACAAACUGUGAAGGAGUUCCAUAAUUCAUAUCACUAAAACAAACAAGUAUUGUAUAGUGUUCUGAGGUAUGCUCAGACCAUUAAAAUAGAAGUAAUAAAAUACUGAAUCGCAUCAUGUUGUAUAACGACUCCAAAUUCACAUUAAUGGCUCAAGGGCUAGUAGCAGAGACGGCUGUGUCCUUGGGAAUCGUGGGAACGAAAGGCAAUGUUGGCUUGGGAAAAUUAGGAAGAUGAGGCACUUCGGGCACUACCGGCAAUUCCGGCUUUGGUAUUGUUGGAAUUUCGGGCUUUGGUAGCUCACGAAGCGGUGGCAAUUCGACUUUCGGCAGUGAUGGGAAUUCUGUCUUUGGCAAGCUAGGGAUGUCAGGAAGUUGAGGCAAUUCAGGCUUCGGCAAUUCCGGCACUUCUAACGACUCUGGCUUCGGUGUUGCUGGAAAUUCAGGCUUUGGUAGUUCAGGAAGCGGUGGCAAUUCGACUUUCGGCAAUGAUGGGAAUUCUGGCUUUGGCAAGCUAGGGAUGUCAGGAAGGUGAGGCAAUUCAGGCUUCGGUAGUUCGGGCACUUCGGGCAAGGUCGCCUCCAAAAGUUGGCGGGCUCUGACUGGGUUCUCACCAAUCGUCAAAGACAGAGCGAGGACAAACAAUGCCAAAAGGUGCGUGAGUCCAUGAUGGUUCGUCAUUGGAGAAUCAAUCGACUAGCAAAUUCAAAAGCUUUGAGUGAAGAAGCGGCGAAUCUCGAGUGAGAGAAUCUGCAGGUGUGCUUGAGCAAUGGCUUGAUGGAGGGCUUAUAAGGAGGAGAGACGUGGAGGAUUGGGGAGAAUGCAAGUAUGGUUUGGUGGGAAUAUUAUCAAAGGGUUAGGUCAACUUCUAAACCAAUCUCAUUUUUGUACGUUCAACAGCAAGAUGGAGCAUAUUAUUCCAAAAGGAGCUUGCCAAUUCUUGGCUUUUCAGGCUUCUGACUACCUGUCGAGGCCAGAAAGAGGGAGAAAAAAAGAAAAGAAAUGGUUUAUGAUCUCACUAUGUACAACAGGACCGGAGUCUUGGAGUCUUAAAAUAUUGGAAAAGCUAAUCAUGUAAGAGCAAAAUAAUAAAUAUUGUCCGUGAUAAUUAUUCGUGGAAUCUUUACUUGAUGUAAGGAUUACUCAAGUGUUAAGCAUGUAUGUUUUCGUCUGAGGCCUAGGUUCGAAUCCUCACAAUUGUGCAUUCUUUUGGACGAUCUUUGAGAACAUAGGUAUGUAUGAAUCCGAUUAUUUCUCAUUUGUGUCGGAUAAAACUACUCUUGCCGGAAAAAAAACAAAACUUUAGGUGACAAAUUUUUAGGGACAGACAUAAAAAGAGAUCCUUAAACAGAGUUUCUAGUUAGGGGUGAGUAGUUCUAAGGUUGGUUUAGGUUUCCACUUAACCAGAACUUGGAAUUUACCCUAUUGAGAUCGGUUUCCCAAUUUUUGAAACUUAAAACCUAUCAUGUAUAUCUUAAAAUUUAUGACCUGCUCUAUCAAUCGAAUCUAAAGUCUAUUAGGGAACCGGCCGAUUUCUCUUCUUCUUCUUCUUUUUUUCAUUUUUUCUUCAUUUUUCUUGUUUCAUUUUAGUCAAGCAAUAGAGAGAACAUGACAACAAAAAUCAUCAUUUGUCAAUAACAAUAAUCUAUAAAAUAUUAGCACCUAAAAUAAAAUAAACAAUAAAAUGUUGAAAACGCAUAAUGUAGAAUCCAAAUUUCAUGCUCUCAAAGGAGUCAAAAACCACGAUAAAAACCAAGGAGUCGAAUGAAGGAACUUUCUUUUUAUUUGAGCCUCGUGUAAGUUCAUGCCAUGCUCUAUUUUAGGAGUACCUUGGUUCUUGUUCUAGUUCUCUGAUUUUCAGUCUGAUUCGCUGAUUCUUAGUUCAAUUCUAUUCAAUUCUUAAGAAUCGCAUAAUACAAGUUCCAAAAAAUAUGAAACCGAAAGCUAUGCUUGUUAGAACCUAGAGAUAGGCCGAUUCCCAUGACCUGUUUGAUCUUUCUUGAUUAUACUUGGAAAAUUUGCUCACCCUCAACUUCUUGUUCCGUCCCUACGGAAAUAUUGAACGAGCCAUCGUUAAUGGUAAUAGUGUAAAUGAUUCAGUUUGGUUCGGUUUUUUCGGAAAACCCAACCAAACCGAACCGAUAAAGAAAUUUAUUGAAUCGAACUGAAAUUACAUCCAAAUCGAAACCGAAUCGAAUCGAAAUCUUGAUUCAAUUUAGUUCAAUUUUUACUUUUUUUUUUGUUUUUCUUUUCCCUACCCCUUUUAAUAAAUUUUUUAUAUUUUAGAAAAAUCAAAUUUUUAAUUAUUUUUUUCUUUUUUUCUUCUUUUUUCCUUUUCUUUCUCUUCUUCAUUCGCUAGUCACUAACUGCCACCGUGGCUGGCAAUUAGCCAAUGAAGAAGAAGAAAAAGAAAAAAGAAAAAAAAUAAAAAUAAACAAUUUAAAAAAAUAAAAUGAAAUAUUUUAGAUUUUAUUGGUUUGGUUCAAUUAACCAAACUGAUAAAAACUGAACUAGUUAAAAAAAUUUCGAUUUUUAAUGAAAAUCGAAUAGAUUGAGAAUCAAACCGAAAAAAAAAAAAAAUCGACAUUUUCGGUUUGGUUCGGUUUUUGACACCCAAGUGAAUGGGCUAGGGGAUAAAUCUAACAUGAAAACUUCAAGUGAAAUCCCAACCUGAAAUAAGAGAAGCGAAGCCCGUCGCAAAAAGAGAAGCCCACCUCCCACUUGAUUUUCUCCCGGCCUCUUCCUCUCCCUUUCCACCCUGCAAAAAGCUCAGCUCGAGUUUCUAUCGGUGUCUCCUUCGCACUCCAGCUGCAGCUCGUCGAUCUCGCGGACGAGAGCUUCUUCAGAUCCGGAUUCCCCGUCGGCUUUCUCCUUCACGGUCUCCGCAGGUCACUUUUCCCUCUCUCUCUCUCUCUCUCUCUCGCGCGCGCGCAUUUCUCUGGCCAAUGUGGGGAGACGAUUCGCGAAGCGGUCGACUGGGGCGGAUGUUUGGAUCGUGGGUUGUGGGAGUUACCGGGUCGGGUCCUUCGUUUCCCCUUAUCUUCUCACUUUUGGGGGGCAUAGCUCAUCUGGGUUGCUCUUGCCAACGAACUAACCCGGCGUGGUUGUAGGCGGUGCCGUGUCUUGUGAGUGCUUGCCCACCUUGUGUUCGCCAUAAUGUUUCACUGGAUUUAUGUAGAGGAGGAGGGUUUUCCAGACUCCUAUUUGCUUCUCUAAUUAUACAUUUUCACGCUUAGUAUUAGGUGAAAAUACCAUACUAAGCAUGACAUGAAAUGUUAGAAUAAUUAAUUAACUUAAUUUUUUAGAACAGUAGUUGAUAUUAGUCCCACAUAAUCUCACUGAACGAGAGAGAGAGAGAGUAAAAGCAGAGACGACCCCACACAACAUACCUACUUUGGCUGCCCAUCAUAAAUUAGAACGUUAACUGACAUGUUCUCGGCGGAGGCAUGGUGGCGAUGAGGUACUGAUGCUGAACUCCACUUCAAUGCCAAUGCCAAUCUGGGUUUUUUCUUCUUUUGUUCGUCUGCAUUAGCUCUUUCACAAGUGCUUGGAACUUCAUCAAUAACCAAUGAAACGCUACCACAGAAGUUUCUGACACCAUAUCUCAAAUAUGAUGCGAUCCUCAUCCCUUAUAUGUAGUGGAAUUUUAAGUACAGAUGUAUCUAUAUUAACACAGGUUUGAAAACUAGUCUGAUAUAUUCCGACCAAAAUGAGAAAAAAAAAACUUGUCCGAUAUAUCAUCAGCCUUUUGAACGUUACAUGCAUUCAAUCUAAUGAGAAAGAUUCUUGUCUUUUGCAAAUAGAAUGAUUAGGUAAUUUCAAGAAAAGUAGAGAAUUUAAAGGAAAGUCUUUGAGAAUCUCAAUCUAAUUACCAAUAUUUAGAUGAUAUUGUUUAUGACUUUGUGUAGUAAAGUAGAACAUGUAUAGAGAGAAGUCAAUAUACUUUUUCAAGUUAAAAGAAAUAAAAAUAGUUUAUGAUAUAUUCAACUAUCGUAAAAAUAUGAACUAUAAAUAUAUAUAGUGAAUUUAAAAUUUAAUAUAUGACAAAUGAUCAUACACUAUUCGAUUGUAUAAUAAACAGCACAUUUUACAUUUUUGUUGAUAUUCUUUUUCACAAUUUAAAUUCCAUGACUAUUGUCAUUCUUAUAACUCUAAAACUAUGAAAAGUUUUCAUAUAAGUUGGAUGUGAAAAGAAGUAGACAAGGAGUUUUAGCAAACAUAAAUUUCAAUAUUUUUGAAAGUAUAAAACUCAAGCAACGCAUGGACAAGUGCACUAGGUAUAUAAACAAAUUACAGUAUACUCUCUCCGUGUAAAUGAAGAAGUUACGCAAAGCAUCACUAACUGCCGUAAUAACGAUUUCCGUUAAGUCAUGUCACAAACCGUAAUACAUAUAAGUACACAUGGCAUAUACCAUUCCAAGGCAUGAUUAGACCGUUAAAAUAGAAGUAAUAAGAUACUAAAUCGCAGCAUAUUCUAUCACGACUCCAAAUCCACAUCAUUGCGGUUCAAGACUACGGGUCUGCAUGGUAACCUUCCACAGCCCAAAAAUUUAUAUUCUUCUCUUCCCCAGAACAAAAAAAGAAUAGAAACCCGUUUGAUAACAACAAGUUAAUUUUUUGUUCCCGGGAACAAAAUGUUAGCCCGGGAAUGGUUUUGGAAUAGAAAUGAGAAGUAAAAAAAAAGUUGCUUCUUGUUCCCGGGAACAAGUUUAAGAAAUAAGUGAAUUUUUUUUUUCUUUUAUUCUUCUCUUGCUAACCGCCAUUGACCACCGUUGACCACCACCCGCCGUUGUUCGCCGCUGCCGGCCGACCGCCGCCCGCCGCCGGCCGACCGCCGGCCGACCGCCGACCAACCGCCGGCCGCCUCCGCCGCCGCCGCCGGUCGCCGGAGGCCGAUCGACCGUCGCCGGUCACUACUGGACGCCGCCGCCACCGCCGGCUGCUGCCGGUCGCCGGAGGCCGACCGACCGUCGCCACCGCCGGUCGCCGCCGCCACCGCCGGUCGCCGACCGACCGUCGCCGCUGGUCAACCCCGGACGCCACCGGUCGCCGACCGACCGUCGCCGCCGGCCGACCGUUGCCGCGGCCACCGCCGGUCGCCGGAGGCCGACCGACCGCCGCCGUCGGUCGACCGCGAUCGCCGCCGAACGCCGCCGCCGCCGCACGUCUCCGCCGGCCGAGCGCCGCCGGCCGACCGACGGUCGGCGGCGGCCGAUGGGCCGUGCGGUAGCGAUUGGCGGCGAGAGUCGGCCGGCGGCGCUCGGCCGGCGGCGACGUGCGGCGGCGGCAGCGUCCGGCGGUGGCCAUGGUAUACCGGAAAAAAUAAAACACAAAUAAAUAUAAAAAAUAAACUGUUUUUUACCAAACGCAUUUCUAUUCUUUUUCUAUUUCUAGAGUAAAAAUUUUGUGUAGUUAUCAAACGGGUUUUUUUACCUAGAAAUUGUUCUCCAGAAUAGAAAUAAAAAAGAACUAUUUCUGAAAAAAAAUUGUUCCCCAGCCAAGAAAUGUUCUCAUGCGCACCCAUAGACAUGUCCUUCAGAAAGAAAGGCAACGUUGGCUUGGGGAAAUCGGGGAGAUGAGGCAAUUUGGGCAAUGCUGGCAAUUCCAGCUUGGGUUUUGUUGGUAUUUCAGGCUUUGGCAGUUUUGGAAAUAGCAGUAAUUCGACUAUUGGCGGUGAUGGCAAUUUCGGUUUUGGCAGGUUUGGGAUGUCGGGAAGGUGAGGCAAUUCGGACUUCAGAAGUUCAGGUACCUUAGGCAACACUGCCUCCAAAAUUCGGCGAGCUUCAACGGAGUUCUCGCCAAUCGUCAAUGACAAAGCAAGGACAAAUAAUGCCAAAAGAUGCGAGAGCCCACAGUAGUUCGCCAUCAUAGAACCAAUAUACUAGCAAAUUGAAAAACUUGUGAAGAAGUGGUUGAUCAAGUGUAAAGGUGCAGGUGUGUUCGAGCAAUGGCUUGAUGGAGGGUUUUUAAAGAGGAGGGACGUGGGGAUUGGGGAGAUUGCAAGUAUGUUUUGGAGGGAAAAUUAUUGAAGUGUUCGUUGAACUUCCAAACCAAUCUCAAUCUCUUUUAUUCAACAACAAGAUGGAGCAGAUAAUUCCAAAAAGGAUCUUUAUAUUCUUGGCUUUUUUAAGCUUGUAAGUGCGAGUUGUUUUGGACUUCCUAGCUAGGCGGGAAAGACAAAAGAAAGGAAAUGAUUUAUGAUCUCACUCUAUGUACAAGAGGACGAAGUCCAUAGCUUUGCUCAGAGAAGUCAACAAUGUUAACAGUAAAAUCUAAGUUUUGCCAGUGAUAAUUAUACAUGAAAAAUAUUCUUGAUGCAAGGAUUGCUCGAGUGGUAGGAAUAUUACUUCUCUUUCUCUGAUAAUUUCAUAAACUUGUGUAUCUGGUAAUUUCUUGAUAUGCGUGGGACAAGGCAGCAACCACUUAACACCAUUUUGGGCCUCAAUAGAGAAGCUUAUGGUCAAGUUGAGGGUAAGGCCACCAACUUUGGAGGGAGUUGGUGGCGUACAAGCCGACUUCGGAGGAGAUGUUAAUUGCUUCUUGAGAAAGUGAGGGUUUAAGAUCCACGAAAUUGCGAAGUUAAGAAGGAGAAGACUAAGCGGUACGGGAAAUUGAAGAACUGCCAACCUCCGAUGAAACUAAAGAUUGAAUGAAACAAUUCAAUUGGGUAAUUGAAGGACUCUCAGUAGAGAGCACCAAGGACAUCAAUCAAUUGGAUGGGGGAGAAUAUCACGGACCGGAGGUUCUCAGGUGCGAUAGGCUGAGGAGGUGGCAAUGUGACCGGGCGUGCCUUAGAUUUAGAGAAGCCCCGUCAUUAAUGGAGGUAUGUGGUAAAUGAAGAGAUAUAUAAAUUUUUUGUAUAUCUCCACUUUUUUCAUCCUAGGAAGAAUAGGUAUUCAUUACUAUGGUCUUUAUGUGUAUUUAAUUCUCUCUUUUCCUCUUCCCCUCAAAAAGAGCGGUCCAAGGGUCACAAUCAAUUCGGGAGAAAUUAGUUUUUCUUUUCUUUAUUUGAUCUUGACUUGCAGUUGGAUGAAUAUUUGGUUAUUAUCCUUCUAAAUAAUAUGCUGAAUAUUACUACAUCUCAAUAAAUAUACACGCUGAUUCACAAUGAAAAAAAAAAAAGAAUUGGUGAGAAUCUAUUCCUUAUUUAUGGAUCAUCCUUCUUAUCAGUAUCUAGGAAAGCAAUUGAUUUUUUUUUUUGACAGAUACUUUUUUUAUUAAUUCAAAUUCAAAUUUGUUAAGUGACAAGUUAACUAUACUUCAAAAUUUGGCAGAAAUACAUCGAGACAAAUAAAAAAUUGGUGAGGGAUUCUUUAUUUAUAAGAAGUAGCAAAACUGAUUUAGAGCUUAUGUCCUGAAAUUAUCUUUUGUGAUCUGUCUCAUCUUAUAACAUAAUGGUCAAGCUCGCAAGGUUUUUCACCGUUGGGGUAUUUGUGUCACCGUAGGCUUAUACAAGAUUUUUUAUAAUAUUAAUCUUAUGGAAAAAUAUAUAUAUAUAUAUAUAUAUAUAUAUAUGUAUCUAUUUUUUUACAAUAAGGAAAGAAAUCGACUUUUUUGCUUGAAAUAGAAAGUGUAACAAAAUAGACUGAUGAUAUACGAAAAUGUCAAUAUUAUGAAAAACUCUAAACUGAUACAUUUGUGACAAAUUUAUUUCUAUCUAAUUAUUUGACUACAAAAAACUCCAAACCGGUACACUUGUGACAAAUUUACCUAAAAUUAUUAUUUUAUUUUUUGUAAAGGGUAAGAAACCUAAAAUUAAUUUUUUGACCAUGAAAACAUUUAAAUUGGUACACCUAAAAUAAAUUUACCAAAAACUAAUUUGUUUGACCACCAAAAACCUCAAAGUGAUAUACCCCUAACAAAUUUACCCAAACUAAUUUUUUGACCACUAAAAAACCCCAAAGUGGUAUAUUUAGACAAAUUUCUUCUAUGUUAGCUUCUGUUAAACUGGAUUAACACCAUGAAAAACCGCAAACUAAAACAAACAGGGGGUAAAAUCCCAAACUAAUAUUUCUUUUCAAAUGUCACUUAUCAUCUAACUUAGUACUUUAACAGUAAAAUUUAAAAUAAAAUAAUGGAGGGUAAAUUUGUUAUAAGUAUAUUAGUUAUGGUUUUAGUUUGGGAUAAAUUUAUUACAUGUGUACUAGUUUGGGGUUUUUGGUGAUCAAAAAUUUAAUUAAGGAUAAAUUUAUCAUAAGUGUAUCAGUUUAGUGUUUUUAAUGUACCAGUUUGGAGUUUCUAUUUUUGAGAAUAGGAAAAUAGCAACAAAAAAAAAAGAUCUAUCAAUAAAAUUGACUAUAUCAUAUACAAUAUAUUAUGUGAUAGGGAACAUGUACAUAUUAAUUAACACCUGUCAAUCUUUAAUAUAUAGCGUAUAAUUACUUUGGUUCAAUCCAAUAUGAAUUGCAGUGAAUAUUUUUUUUUUUUUACUUAAUUAAAGAAUGAUGAUUGGUUGGAAAAUGACAAAAUAGUUGUGUCAAUUUUAGGAAAUAUAUAUAUAACCCAUGAUGAAUUCAUUUUAAGUAUACAUAUAAGACAAACAAACCUCUAUUGUCAUGAAGGGUUGAUACCUUGAAAAAUCUCAAACUAGUACACAUGUGAUAAAUUUAUCUUAAACUAAUUUUUUGACCAUGAAAAACCUCAAAUUGGUACACUCGUGAUAAAUUUACCUCGACUAAUCAUAAAAAAAAAUCUCAAACUAGUACAUUUGUGACAAAUUUAUCCCAAACUAAUUUAUUUGAUCGCCAAAAAACCCAAAUCGGUACAUUUUUGACAAAUAUACCCUCCAUUAAAUUAGAUUAAUAUCACAAAAAAUCACAAAAAUUGUAUUACGGUAACAAAUGGAGAAUAAAAUAUCAAAUUGGUACAUCAGUAAAUUGCCGCAUGUCAUUCAAUUUAGUAAUUUGAUAGUAAAAUUUAACGGAAACAAAUAGACAAUAAAUUUAUUACAAAAAAUUAGUUUUGGGUAAAUUUGUCAAGAGUGUAUCAGUUUGGGAUUUUUCAGGAUAUUAACCCAAUAAUGAAUGACGCAUUUUAUUUUUCUUGAUUUUUUCUUUGAUUAUUUGAAUUUCAUAAGUAUUGUCAUUACUAGAACUCAUAUAAAUUACAUUUUCAUAUUAGUUAUAUGUGAAACAAGAUAAGGAGUUUCAGCAAACAUGAGUUUCAACAAAUUUAGAAAUAUAGAACUCAUGUGAAGCAUGCUCGAGUGCACUAGGUAUUUAAGAAAGAGUAAUUAUAGCAACUCCGUCGGAUGUAAUAGUUUAGUUACUCAAGAUAUCACAAAUUGUCCCACAAAUAAGUUUCAUAAUUGUCCCACAAAUAUGUUCCAUAAUUCAUAUAACACUAUCAUACAAAAUAUACUGUUCCGAGGCAUGCUCAGACCAUCAAAGUAGACGUAAUAAAAUAUUAAAUCACAGCAUGUUGCAUCACGACUCCAAAUUCACAUCACAACGGUUCAAGGAUUAGUAGCAGCCGCAGGCAUGUCCUUCGCAACGAAAGGCAAAGUUGGCUUAGGGAAAUCGGGGAGAUGAGGCAAUUCGGGCACUUCCGGCAAUUCCGGCUUCGGUAUUGUUGGUAAUUCAGGCUUUGGCAGUUCCGGAAGUGGCGGCAAUUCAACUUUUGGCAGUGAUGGCAAUUCUGGCUUUGGCAGGCUUGGGAUGUCGGGAAGGUGUGGCAAUCCGGGCUUCGGCAGUUCGGGCACCUCGGGCAACGUCUCCUCCAAAAUUCGGCUAGCUCCAACCGAGUUCUCGCCGGUCAUCAAGGACAAAGCAAAGACAAACAAUGCCAAAAGAUGCACAAGUCCGCGAUAGUUCGCCAUCGCAGGACCGAUCGACAAGCAAAUUUAAAAACUUCAAGUGAAGAAUCGAUGGAUCUCAAAUGAGGAGGUGCAGGUGUGCUUGAGCAAUGGCUUGAUGGAGGGUUUAUAAAGAGGAGGGACGUGGGGAUUAGGGAGAUUACAAGUAUGGUUUGGUGGGACUUUGUCGAAGUGUUAGUUCAACUUCUAGACCAAUCUCAUUUUCGUAUGUUCAACAACAACAUGGAGCAGAUAAUUCCAGAAAGGACCUUGCCAAUUAUUGGCUUUCAACGCUUGUAACCAUCAGUCGUGCUGGUAUUAUAGCUUUUGUUUUGGUUUUCCUAUAAAUCGUUAAUUGGUAACCGUACUACAAUCAUGAACUACGAUCAUUGUAAAUGAUAUCCUAAAAAUGACCAUCCCGAUACACGCACAUAUAUAUAGCUGAUUUACAUAUGAAAUUAAAAACUGAGACUAGGUAAAACUAUCUAACGUCUUGAAAUAUCUUUUCCGCAAUUCAUCUCAUGUGAUGGAAUGAUAGCCAAGCUUGCAAGGUUUUUCAAUUAUUUGAUAAAUUUAAGACUAUGUUCUUUGACUAGUAGUACACGUGAUUGAUGAACGAAUAAAAGAUCAUCAAAUAUUUGAUAACCAACGCAAUACUACCAUAGAAGUCUCAAAACAUAUCUCAAAUAUGAUGUAAUCGUAUGCUUUUAUGGAGCAGAAUAUAAAGUAUAUAUGUAUCUAUUACGGACCAGUUUGAAAUUGGUCUACUAUAUUAUAAUGACAUUCGAAAAUUAAAUGAAAAACUACUUUUCUUACCGAAAUUGAAUCUUGAGAAUUUUUCAAGGAAACUAAAAAUAUAAAGAAAAUACUCAAAAAAUUCUUAACCGGAAUACAUAUGUGAAAAGUAAGUCCAUUCAAUUUAACGAGAAAGACUCUUUUCUUUUCCAAAUAGAUUGAUAAGACUUUUUGCGGAAAAUAACAAUUUAAAGGAAAGUAUCUUAAGUCUCAAUCUAAAUAUAUUUAGGUGAUACUGUGUAGUAUUACAUAUAGAAAGAAGUCUUUUUAUUUUUUUCAAGGAAAUUUUGAGAGAGAAGAUUAUUAAAGAUUAACAUGUAUAUCAAAUAUUAUAUAAUGUAAUAAGUAUUGAAAUUAACUUCAUGGGAAUGAGAAAAUGUUUUGAUUAUUAAUUUAAGUAAAAUUGACUCUAUGAGACUCGAUAUGUGAUGUGGUAUAAAAAAGAAAAAAAAUGUAAAUAUAUCUAUAUUUGAGAGAGAGAGAGAGAGAGAGAUAAACUUUUCACUCGAAUUAGAAGUUGGAGCUAAAUAGAUUGACAUUAGGCGAAACAAUAUAUCAAGAAUAGAAAAAAAAAAUGAUCUAUAACGGCAAAGUUGUCUAUACAAUACAAUGUAUGCCAUGUUAUAGAAAACAUCGAUAAUAUUUAACAUAUAUCGAUACUAUAACAUAGAGCUUAAAAUUACUUCAAUUCAAUUCAAUACAAAAUGAAAUAAAAACAAACAUCAGAGUUGAUAUUACUUAAUUGAAGAAUGAUGAUUGCUUGAAACAUGAAAAAAUAGUUGUGUCAAAUUAAAAGGGAAAAUACUCUAUGAUAAAUUCAAGGGAAAAUUCCAAAAAGGUACCCGAAAUACCCUAUUUUUUUCAAAUAAGAGCCUAAAGUGAAUCUUAUUUCAAAUAAGGACUGAAGUGCAUUUGUUUUCUCAAAUAAGGGUUUAAAGUGGAUGUUAUUUCAAAUGAGGACCUAAAGUAAUUAUGUUUAUUUCAAAUAAGAGCAUGAAGUGGCUAUAUCCGUUUGAAAUAAGAACCCGUCUUUCUAGCGAUCAAUGGUAUUUUCGUCAUUUGUCAUUUGUCCAUUUUUUUUUUUUUUUUUUCCAUUUUUUUGACUAGCUCUUGUUCCUCUUCGCCAAUGGCCAGCCGGCCAUUGGCAAUGCCCACAAAGGGCUGAGCAAGAGAGUGAGGGUCACCACACUCAAGCAAGGCUGUCCGUCACUUGUGGGCAGGGUGGGUGGCCCUUGCUGGUGGGGGCGACCCUCGCUUAGCCCUUUGUGGGCAUCACUGGCAAAAAGGAAGAAGAAUAACCAAAAGAAAAAAAGGAAAGAAAAAAAAAGUGAAAUGCAAAAUGACAAAAAUACCCUUGGCUGGUUGGAAAAUUUAGCCACUCAGCGAUCGGCGAGAUCAGGUCUUUAUUUGAAACAACCAAAGCCACUUCAGGCCCUUAUUUGAAACAACUAAGGCUACUUUAGGUUCUUAUUUGAAACAAAAUCCAUUCCGGGCCCUCAUUUGAGAAAACAAUAACACUUCGGGUCUUUUUUUGAAAUUUUCCCUAAAUUCAAUUGAAGUAAAUAAGAUGUUCAAUAAGUGGAUUUAUAAUUUAUAUGUAAGAUAAAUGAACCUAUAUCACUCGAUCCUAUAACAAACAUGUAAUUUUGCUUAUUUUUCCUUCAAAUAUUUAAAUUCUAUGAUAAGUUAAAUGUGUAUAAAGUAGAUAAUGAGUUUUAAUAAAUAUAAAUUUGAUAUAUUUUGAAAUAUAAAACACAUGAAGCAUCAGAAAGUGUACUAGUUGUUUAAGAAAGAGUAACUAUAGCAUACUCCGUCGGUGUAAAAGAAGAGUUACACAAGAUAUCAUAAACUAUCAUACGAAUAAGUUCCAUAAUUCAUAUCACAAACUGUCAUACAAACGACUAUAUAUGGCAUAUAACAUUCUGAGGUGAACACUGACCAUUACAAUAGAAGUAAUAGAAUACUAAUUCAUAUCAUAUCGAAUCCCGACUACAAGUUCACAUCACAACGGUUCAAGGACUAGUAGCAGCGAUAGACGUGUCCUUCGAAACGGCAGGCAAUGUUGGCUUAGGGAAAUCGGGAAGGUGAGGCAAUUCAGGCACUUCUGGCUUUGGUAAAGUUGGAAAUUCAAGCUUUGGAAGUUUGGGCACUUCCGGCAAUUCUGGCUUCGGUAUUGUUGGAAAUUCAGGCUUUGGCAGCUCGGGAAGUGGCGGCAAUUCGACUUUUGGCAGAGAUGGCAGUUCUGGUUUUGGCAGGCUUGGGAUAUCGGGAAGCUGAGGCAAUUCUGGCUUCGGCAGUUCAGGCACUUCAGGCAACGUCGCGUCCAAAAGUUGGCGAGCUCCAACGCGGUUCUGGCCGAUUGUCAAAGACAGAGCAAGGACAAACAAUGACAAAAGAUUAGUGAGUCUGCAAUAGUUCGCCAUCGUGGAAUUGAGCGACUAGCAAACCGAAAAACUUUGAGUGAAGAAGCGGUGUGUUUGAGCAAUGGCUUGAUGGAGGGUUUUUAAAGAGGAGGGACGUGGGGAUUGGGGAGAUUACAAGUAUGUUUUGGUGGGAAAAAUAAUCUAAGUGUUGGUUCAACUUCUAAACCAAUCUCAUUUUCUUUUGUUCAACAACAAGAUGGAGAAGACUCCAAAAAGUUAUCUUGCCACUUCUGGGCUUUCUAAGUCUGUAACUAUCAGCUGUGCUAGAUUUCUCAGCUACGCGGGAAAAAGAAACGAAAGGAGAUGGUUCAUGAUUUCACUCUAUGUACAAUAGUAGGACGAAGUCCGGAGUUUUGGUUGAAGAAGUCAAUAAUUUAAGGAUAAAAAUCUAAGUUUUGUUAGCGAUCAUUGUACAUGAAAUGCAUACUCAUCUAAAACUUGUCUAAAUUUAUUAAGUGCAUUUAAUAAAUUCAUUAACCUUCUCUUAAGUUUUCCGUUCCCUUUCUCUAUUAUAUCCAUUCACGUGCACUCAAUACUUUUCAAUUUCAAUUUUUAUGUAUCCAUUUGCAUGCUAGAGUUAAGGACGAUGGUCACUUACAUUCAAUUUGUUUGUUUUUUUUUUUUUUUGGGGGUAUGCCUGGCCUUUUUUUCACCUAUAAGAGGGUAGAAUAUUUGUUAUUCUGGUCUUUAUGUGCAUUUCAUCUCCUUUUUUUCUCCUCAGAAAUGGGUCUUAGUUGCAAAAUUAAUUCAUCAGAAAUCGAUUUUUCUUUUUCCAAUUUGAUCUUGACUUGCUAUUGAAUGGAUAAUCGGUUAUCAUCACUCCCAAUUAGAUUAGAAAUAUGACUACAUCUCAAUAUAUCAAUUUACAUCCGAACUGUAAAAAAUGAGACUCGGCAAUAAUCUAUUUCUUAUGUAUGGAUCAUCUUUCUUACCGGUAUCUCGAAAAGCAAAUGAUUUUUUUUUUUGGCAUAAACAUUUUUGUUGAGUGUCUUAAAAAAUUAACUACAUUUAAAAAUGCAAAAAUACAAAGAGAUAAGAGGAAUGGUGAGGGAUUUUGAUUUCACAUGAAUUAGCAAAAACGAUUGAGAAUUUAUGAGCUGAAACUUAUUGAGAACUUAUGGGCUAAAACUUUCUUCUAUGCAAUCCAUCUUAAAUGACAAUAUAAUAGCCAACCUGGCAAGGCUUUUUUUUCUUUUUUAAACUAUUUAUGAAUUUUAUAUUAUGCUUUCCAGAUAGUAGUGUACGUAAUUGAUGAACAAACAAAAGAUCAAAAAAAUAUUUAAUAACCGACUUAAUACUACCAUAGAAGUUUCAACACAUAUCACAAAUAUGAUAUAACCAUAUUCUUGCAUGUGGUAGCUUAUUAACUAUAAAUGUAUCUAUAACACACGGGUUUGAAAACUAGUCUAAUAUAUAAUAGGGGCUUCUGAACAUUAAAUGCAUUCAAUUUAAUGAGAAACAUUCUUUUCUUAUCCAAAAUGAAGUUUUAGAUUUUUUUUUUCCCUUGACAUAGAAUUAGUCGCAGAAAAGAGUGGGAAUAUGCGAAACAAGAUCCAAGAAUAGAAAAAAAAAUGAUUUAAUAACAGUAAAGUUGACUAUGAUCUGCAUAAUAUAUUAUUUGAUAGAAAAAGUACAUAAUGACUAACAUGCAUCAACACCAUAACAUAUAGCGAAAUAUUACUUUGGUUUAAUCAGAUACAAAAUUUAGUAAAGUACAAAUAUUAGAGUUGAUUUUGCUUGACCAAAGAAUGACGAUUGCUUAAAAAUGACAAUAUUUGUGCCAAAUUAAAAGGAAAAAUAAUCUACGGUAGUUCAAUUUUAAUAAAGUAUGAUAUAUAAGAUGUUUGAUGACUUAAAGUGUAUUUAUAAUUUGUAUGUAAGACAAGUGUACCUAUCUCAAUCCAUCAUACAAUAAAAGACGCAUUUUUCUGAUUUUUUCUUCAAUUGUUUAGAUUAUGUCACCGUUAUCACUCUAAAAUUUUAAAUUCCCAUAUUAGUUAGAAGUGAAAAAAGUGGACAAGGAAGUAACAUAGAUUUCUUCUAUUUUGAAAUAUUAAACUCGUACAGAACAUAAGGGAGUGCACUAGCUAUAUUAAAAAGAGUAAUAAUAGUAUACACUAUCGAUGUAAAAAGAUAGUUACACAAAACAUCACAAACUGUGAAGGAGUUCCAUAAUUCAUAUCACUAAAACAAGUAUUGUAUAGUGUUCUGAGGUAUGCUCAGACCAUUAAAAUAGAAGUAAUAAAAAACUGAAUCGCAUCAUGUUGUAUAACGACUCCAAAUUCACAUUAAUGGCUCAAGGGCUAGUAGCAGCGACGGCUGUGUCCUUGGGAAUCGUGGGAACGAAAGGCAAUGUUGGCUUGGGAAAAUCAGGAAGAUGAGUCACUUCGGGCACUACCGGCAAUUCCGGCUUUGGUAUUGUUGGAAAUUCGGGCUUUGGUAGCUCAGGAAGCGGCGGCAAUUCGACUUUCGGCAGUGACGGGAAUUCUGUCUUUGGCAAGCUAGGGAUGUCAGGAAGUUGAGGUAAUUCGGGCUUCGGCAAUUCCGGCACUUCUAAGGACUCCGGCUUCGGUGUUGCUGGAAAUUCAGGCUUUGGUAGUUCAGGAAGCGGUGGCAAUUCGACUUUCGGCAAUGAUGGGAAUUCUGGCUUUGGCAAGCUAGGGAUGUCAGGAAGGUGAGGCAAUUCAGGCUUCGGUAGUUCGGGCACUUCGGGCAAGGUCGCCUCCAAAAGUCGGCGGGCUCCAACUGGCUUCUCACCAAUCAUCAAAGACAGAGCGAGGACAAACAAUGCCAAAAGGUGCGCGAGUCCAUGAUGGUUCGUCAUUGGAGAAUCAAUCGACUAGCAAAUUCAAAAGCUUUGAGUGAAGAAGCGGCGAAUCUCGAGUGAGAGAAGGUGCAGGUGUGCUUGAGCAAUGGCUUGAUGGAGGGCUUAUAAGGAGGAGGGACGUGGAGGAUUGGGGAGAAUGCAAGUAUGGUUUGGUGGGAAUAUUAUCAAAGGGUUAGGUCAACUUCUAAACCAAUCUCAUUUUUGUACGUUCAACAGCAAGAUAGAGCAUAUUAUUCCAAAAGGAGCUUGCCAAUUCUUGGCUUUUCAGGCUUCUGACUACCUGUUGAGGUGAGAAAGAGGGAGAGAAAAGAAAAGAAAAGAAAUGGUUUAUGAUCUCACUAUGUACAACAGGACUGGAGUCUUGGAGUCUUAAAAUAUUGGAGAAGCCAAUAAUGUAAGAGCAAAAUAAUAAAUAUUGUCAGUGAUCAUUAUUCAUGGAAUCUUUACUUGAUGCAAGGAUUACUCAAGUUUUAAGCAUGUAUGUUUUCUUUUGAGGCCUUGGUUCAAAUCCCUACAAUUGUGCAUUAUUUUCGAUGAUCUUUGAGAACAUAGGCAUGUAUGAAUCCGAUUAUCUCUCUAAUUGUGUGGGAUAAAACUACUCUUGCUGGAAAAAACAAAACUUUAGGUGACAACUUUUUGGGGACAGACAUAAAAGGAGAUCCUUAAAUAGAGUUUCUAGUUAGGGGUGAGUAGUUCUAAGGAUGGUUUAGGUUUCAACUUUCUUGGAACUUGAAAUUUACCUUAUUAAGACCGGUUUCCCAGUUUUUGAAACUUAAAACCUAUCAUGUAUAUCUUAAAAUUUGUGACCUGCUCUAUCAAUCGAAUCCAAAGUCUAUUAAGGAACCGGCUGAUUUCUCUUUUCUUUUCUUUUUCUUUUUUUUUUCUUGUUUCAUUUUAGUCAGCAAUAGAGAGAACAUAACAACAAAAAUCAUCAUUUGUCAAUAACAAUGAUCUAUAAAAUAUUAGCACCUAAAAUAAAAUAAACAAUAAAAAGUUGAAAACGCAUAAUGUAGAAUCCAAAUUUCAUGCUCUCAAAGGAGUCAAGAACCAUGAUAAAAACCAAGGAUUCGAAUGAAGGAACCUUUUUUUUCAUUUGAGCCUCGUGUAAUACCGUUCAUGUCAUGCUCUAUUUUAGGAUUACCUUGGUUCUUGUUCUAGUUCUUUGAUUUUCAGUCUGAUUCGUCGAUUCUUAGUUCAAUUCUAUUCAAUUCUUAAGAAUCGCAUAGAACAAGUUCCAAAAAAUGUGAAACCGAAAUUUGGAGCAUGCCCUUUAGAACCUAGAGACAGGUCGAUUCCCAUGACCUGUUUGGUCUUUCUUGAUUAUACUUGGGAAAUUUGCUCACCCCCAACUUCUUGUUCCGUCCCUACGGAAAUAUUGAAUGAGCCGUCGUUAAUGGUAAUAGUGUAAAUGAUUUAGUUUGGUUCGGUUUUUUGGGAAAACGGAACCAAACCGAACCGAUAAAGAAAUUUAUUGAAUCAAACUGAAAUUCCAUCCAAAUCGAAACCGAAUCGUCAAUGACAAAGCAAGGACAAAUAAUGCCAAAAGAUGCGAGAGCCCGCAGUAGUUCGCCAUCGUAGAACCAAUAUACUAGCAAAUUGAAAAACUUCGAGUGAAGAAGUGGAGGAUGUCAAGUGUAAAGGUGCAGGUGUGUUCGAGCAAUGGCUUGAUGGAGGGUUUUUAAAGAGGGACAUGGGGAUUGGGGAGAUUGCAAGUAUGUUUUGGAGGGAAAAUUAUCGAAGUGUUCGUUGAACUUCCAAACCAAUCUCAAUCUCUUUUGUUCAACAACAAGAUGGAGCCGAUAAUUCCAAAAAGGAUCUUUAUAUUCUUGGCAUUUUUAAGCUUGUAACUGCGAGUUGUGUUGGACUUCCUAGCUAGGAGGGAAAGACAAAAGAAAGGAAAUGAUUUAUGAUCUCACUCUAUGUACAAGAGGACGAAGUCCAUAGCUUUGGUCAGAGAAGUCAACAAUGUUGAGAGUAAAAUCUAAGUUUUGCCAAUGAUAAUUAUACACGAAAAGUAUUCUUGAUGUAAGGAUUGCUUAAGUGGUAGGCAUAUUCCUUCUCUUUCUCUGAUAAUUUCAUAAACCUAUGUAUCUGGUAAUUUCUUGAUAUGCGUGGGACAAGGCGGCAGCCACUGUUAAGGCUACCAUUUUGGGCCUCAAUAGAGAAGCUUAUGGUCAAGUUGAGGGUAAGGCCACCACCUUCGGAGGGAGUUGGUGGCGUACAAGCCGACUUCGGAGGAGAUGCUAAUUGCUUCCUGAAAAAGUGAGGGUUUAAGAUCCAUGAAAUUGCGAAGUUAAGAAGGAGAAGACUAAGUGGUAAAGAGAUUGAAGAACUGCCACCCUCGGAUGAAACUAAUGAUCGAAUGAAACAAUUCAAUUGGGUAAGCGUAGGACUCUGAGUCGAGAGCACCAAAGACAUCAAUCAAUUGGAUGGGGGAGAAUAUCAUGGACCGGAGGUUCUCAAGGUGCAAUAGGCUGAGGCGGUGGCCAUGUGACCGGGGGUGCCUUAGAUUUAGAGAAGCCUUGUCAUUAAUGGAGGUAUGUGGUAAAUGAAGAGAUAUAUAACUUUUUGUAUAUCUCCACUUUUUUCAUCCUAGGAAAAAUAGGUAUUCAUUACUCUGGUCUUUAUGUGUAUUUAAUUCUCUCUUUUCCUCUUCCCCUCAAAAAGGGCGGUCCUAGGGGCGCAAUCAAUUCGGGAGAAAUUAGUUUUUCUUUUCUUUAUUUGAUCUUGACCUGCAGUUGGAUGAAUAUUUGGUUAUUAUCCUUCUAAAUAAUAUGCUGAAUAUUACUAUAUCUCAAUAAAUAUAAACGCUGAUUCACAAUGAAAAAAAAUAAGAAUUGGUGAUCAUCUAUUCCUUAUGUAUGGAUCAUCCUUCUUAUCAGUAUCUAGGAAAGCAAUUGUUUUUUUUUUCUGGCAGAUAAUUUUUUUAUUAAUUCAAAUUCAUAUAUAUAUAUAUAUAUAUAUAUAUAUAUAUAUAUAUAUAUUUUGAGCAAGUCAAAUUCAUAUCUGUUAAGUGACAGCAAAAGUUAACUAUACUUCAAACAGAAAUACAUCGAGCCAAACGAAAAAUUGGUGAGGGAUUCUUUAUUUAUAAGAAGUAGCAAAACUGAUUUAGAUCUUAUGUCCUGAAAUUAUCUUUUGUGAUCCGUCUCAUCUUAUAACAUAAUGUUCAAGCUCGCAAGGUUUUUCACAGUUCGGGUAUUGGUGUCCCCGUAGGCUUAUACAAGGUUUUUUUUUGUAAUAGUAAGCUUAUGGAAAUAUAUAUAUAUAUAUAUAUAUAUAUAUAUAUAUGUAACUAUAUUUGUACAAUAAGGAGAGAAAUUGACUUUUUCGCUUGAAAUAGAAAGUGUAACAGAAUAGACUAACAAUAUGCGAACUGGUCAAUAUCAUGAAAAACUAUAAACUGAUACAUUUGUGAUAAGUUUACUUCUAUCUAAUUAUUUGGCCACAAAAAACUCCAACCAAUACACUUAUGACAAAUUUACCUAAAAUUAAUAUUUUGACCAUGAAAACAUUUAAAUUGGUACACCUAAAAUAAAUUUACCAAAAACUAAUUUUUUGACCACUAAAAAUCUCAAAUUGAUAUACACCUAACAAAUUUACCCAAACUAGUUUUUUGACCACUAAAAAACCCCAAAGUGGUAUAUAUAAGGCAAAUUUCUUCUAUAUUAGCUUUUCUUAAACUGGAUUAACACCAUGACAAACCACAAACUAAAACAGACCGGGGGGGGGGGGUAAUAUCCCAAACUAAUAUUUUUUUCAACCAUCACGUAUCAUCUAACUUAGUAAUUUAAUAGUGAAAUUUAAAAUAAAAUAAUGGAUGGUAAAUUUGUUAUAAGUAUAUUAGUUAUGGUUUUAGUUUGGGAUAAAUUUAUCACAUGUGUACUAGUUUGGGGUUUUUAGUGAUAAAAAAAUUAGUUAAGGAUAAAUUUAUCAAAAGUGUAUCAGUUUAGUGUUUUUAAUGUACCCGUUUGGAGUUUCUAUUCUUGAGAAUAGGAAAAUAGAAAAAAAAAGAAAGAUCUAUCAAUAAAAUUGACUAUACCAUAUACAAUAUAUUAUGUGAUAGGGAACACGUAUAUAUUAAUUAACACUCGUCAAUACUUUAAUAUAUAGCGUAUAAUUACUUUGGUUCAAUCCAAUAUGAAUUGCAGUGAAUAAUUUUUUUUAUUUAUUACCUAAUUAAAGAAUGAUGAUUGGUUGGAAAACGACAACAUAGUCAUGUCAAUUUUAGAAAUAUAUAUAACUCAUGAUGAAUUCAUUUUAAGUAUACAUAUAAGACAAACGAACCUCCAUUGUUACGAACGGUUGAUAUAUUGAAAAAUCUCAAACUAGUACACAUGUGAUAAAUUUAUCUUAAACUAAUUUUUUGACCAUGAAAAACCCCAAAUUGGUACACCCGUGAUAAAUUUACCCCGACUGAUCAUAAAAAAAAAAAAAAUCUCAAAUUAGUACAUUUGUAAUAGAUUUAUCCCAAACUAAUUUAUUCGAUCGCCAAAAAACCCAAAUCGGUACAUUUGUGACAAAUAUACCCUCUAUUAAGUUAGAUUAAUAUCAUAAAAAAAUCACAAAAAUUGUAUGAUGGUAACAAAUGGAGAAUAAAAUCUCAAAUUGGUAUACCAGUAAAUUGCCGCAUGUCAUUCAAUUUAGUAAUUUGAUAGUAAAAUUUAACGGAAACAAAUAGAGAGUAAAUUUAUCACAAAUAUACUAGAUUUGGGUAUAUUUGUUAAAGGUAUACCGGUUUAGGAUUUUUGCUAAAAAAAUUAGUUUGUGGUAAAUUUGUUACGACUGUACCAGUUUGGGGUUUUUCAAGAUAUUAACCCAAUAAUGAAUGACGCAUUUUAUUUUUCUUGAUUUUUUCUUUGAUUAUUUGAAUUUCAUAAGUAUUGUCAUUACUAGAACUCAUAUAAAUUAAAUUUUCAUAUUAGUUAUAUGUGAAACAAGAUAAGGAGUUUCAGCAAACAUGAGUUUCAACAAAUUUGGAAAUAUAGAACUCAUGUGAAGCAUGCUCGAGUGCACUAGGUAUUUAAGAAAGAGUAAUUAUAGCAACUCCGUCGGAUGUAAUAGUUAAGUUACUCAAGAUAUCACAAAUUGUCCCACAAAUAAGUUUCAUAAUUGUCCCACAAAUAUGUUCCAUAAUUCAUAUAACACUAUCAUACAAAAUAUACUGUUCCGAGGCAUGCUCAGACCAUCAAAGUAGACGUAAUAAAAUAUUAAAUAACAGCAUGUUGCAUCACGACUCCAAAUUCACAUCACAACGGUUCAAGGAUUAGUAGCAGCCGCAGGCAUGUCCUUCGCAACGAAAGGCAAAGUUGGCUUAGGGAAAUCGGGGAGAUGAGGCAAUUCGGGCACUUCCGGCAAUUCCGGCUUCGGUAUUGUUGGUAAUUCAGGCUUUGGCAGUUCCGGAAGUGGCGGCAAUUCAACUUUUGGCAGUGAUGGCAAUUCUGGCUUUGGCAGGCUUGGGAUGUCGGGAAGGUGUGGCAAUCCGGGCUUCGGCAGUUCGGGCACCUCGGGCAACGUCUCCUCCAAAAUUCGGCUAGCUCCAACCGAGUUCUCGCCGGUCAUCAAGGACAAAGCAAAGACAAACAAUGCCAAAAGAUGCACAAGUCCGCGAUAGUUCGCCAUCGCAGGACCGAUCGACAAGCAAAUUUAAAAACUUCAAGUGAAGAAGCGAUGGAUCUCAAAUGAGGAGGUGCAGGUGUGCUUGAGCAAUGGCUUGAUGGAGGGUUUAUAAAGAGGAGGGACGUGGGGAUUAGGGAGAUUACAAGUAUGGUUUGGUGGGAUUUUGUCGAAGUGUUAGUUCAACUUCUAGACCAAUCUCAUUUUCGUAUGUUCAACAACAACAUGGAGCAGAUAAUUCCAGAAAGGACCUUGCCAAUUAUUGGCUUUCAACGCUUGUAACCAUCAGUCGUGCUGGUAUUAUAUAGCUUUUUGUUUUGGUUUUCCUAUAAAUCGUUAAUUGGUAACCGUACUACAAUCAUGAACUACGAUCAUUGUAAAUGAUAUCCUAAAAAUGACCAUCCCGAUACAUGCACAUAUAUAUAGCUGAUUUACAUAUGAAAUUAAAAACUGAGACUAGGUAAAACUAUCUAACGUCUUGAAAUAUCUUUUCCGCAAUCCAUCUCAUGUGAUGGAAUGAUAGCCAAGCUUGCAAGGUUUUUCAAUUAUUUGAUAAAUUUUAGACUAUGUUCUUUGACUAGUAGUACACGUGAUUGAUGAACGAAUUAAAGAUCAACAAAUAUUUGAUAACCAACGCAAUACUACCAUAGAAGUCUCAAAACAUAUCUCAAAUAUGAUGUAAUCGUGUGCUUUUAUGGAGCAGAAUACAAAGUACAUAUGUAUCUAUUACGGACCGGUUUGAAAUUGGUCUACUAUAUUAUAAUGACAUUCGAAAAUUAAAUGAAAAACUUCUUUUCUUACCAAAAUUGAAUCUUGAGAAUUUUUCAAGGAAAGUAAAAAUAUCAAGAAAGAACUCAAAAAAUUCGUAACCGGAAUACAUUUUGCGAAAAAUAAGUCCAUUCAAUUUAACGAGAAAUACUCUUUUUUUCCAAAUAGAUUGAUAAAAAUUUUCUCGGAAAGUAACAAUUUAAAGGAAAGUAUCUUAAGUCUCAAUCUAAAUAUAUUUAGGUGAUUUUGUGUAGCAUUAUGUUUAGACAGAAGUCUUUUUAUUUUUUUCAAGGAAAUUUUGAGAGAGAAGAGUAUUAAAGAUUAACAUGUAUAUCAAAUACUAUUUAAUGUAAUUAUGAAUGAGAAAAAUGUUUAUGAUUAUUAAUUUAAGUAAAAUUGACUAUAUGAGCAUGAUAUAUGAUGUGAUAUAAAAAAAAAGUGUAAAUAUAUCUAUAUUUGAGAGAGAGAGAGAGAGAGAGAGAGAGAGAGAGAGAGAGAGAGAGAGAGAGAGAGAAGUUGCAGCUAAAUAGAUUGACAUUAUGCGAUAUCAAGAAUAGAAAAAAUUGAUCUAUAACGGUUAAGUUGUCUAUACAAUACAAUGUAUGCCAUGUUAUAGAAAACAUCAAUAAUAUUUAACAUAUAUCGAUACUAUAACAUAGAGCUUAAAAUUACUUCAAUUCAAUUCAAUACAAAAUGAAAUAAAAACAAACAUCAGAGUUAAUAUUACUUAAUUGAAGAAUGAUGAUUGCUUGAAACAUGAAAAAAUAGUUGUGUCAAAUUAAAAGGGAAGAUACUCUAUGAUAAAUUCAAUUUUAGUAAAUAAGAUGUUCAAUAAGUGGAUUUAUAACUUAUAUGUAAGAUAAAUGAACCUAUAUCACUUGAUCAUAUAACAAACAUGUAAUUUUGCUGAUUUUUUCUUCGAAUAUUUAAAUUCUAUGAUAAGUUAAAUGUGUAUAAAGUAGAUACUGAGUUUUAGUAAACAUAAAUUUGAUAUAUUUUGAAAUAUAAAACACAUGAAGCAUAAGAAAGUCUACUAGUUGUUUAAGAAAGAGUAACUAUAGCAUACUCUAUCGGCAUAAAAGAAGAGUUACACAAGAUAUCAUAAACUAUCAUACCAAUAAGUUCCAUAAUUCAUAUCACAAACUAUCACAUAAACAACUAUAAAUGGCAUAUAACAUUCUGAGGUGAAUAUUGACCAUUACAAUAGAAGUAAUAGAAUACAAAUUCAUAUCAUAUCGAAUCCCGACUACAAGUUCACAUCACAACGGUUCAAGGACUAGUAGCAGCAACAGACAUGUCCUUCGGAAUGGAAGGCAAUGUUGGCUUAGGGAAAUCAGGAAGGUGAGGCAAUUCGGGCACUUCCUGCAAUUCUGGCUUUGGUAAAGUUGGAAAUUCAAGCUUUGAAAGUUCGGGUACUUCCGACAAUUCUGGCUUCGGUAUUGUUGGAAAUUCAGGCUUUGGCAGUUUGGGAAGUGGUGGCAAUUCGACUUUUGGCAGCGAUGGCAGUUCUGGUUUUGGCAAGCUUGGGAUGUCGGGAAGCUGAGGCAAUUCUGGCUUCAACAGUUCAGGCACUUCAGGCAACGUCGUGUCCAAAAGUUGGUGAGCUUCAACGUGGUUCUGGCCGAUUGUCAAAGACAGAGCAAGGACAAACAAUGCCAAAAGAUUAGUGAGUCUGCAAUAGUUCACCAUCGGGGAAUCAAGCGACUAGCAAACCGAUAAACUUUGAGUGAAGAAUCGGUGUGUUUGAGCAAUGGCUUGAUGGAGGGUUUUUAAAGAGGAGGGACCUAAGUAGCACCGACAUGGGACACGAUAUGACACAACACGUCGACAUGUCAUUUCUAAAAAAUAGAGAAAUUUGAUACGUUGCAAUACGUUAUAUAUUAAACGAAUAUUUUUAUUUUUAAUUAAUUUAAUUCAAAUUCAUAAAUAAAUAAAUAAAGAACCUAUAAUGAAUUUACACUAAUAAUAUUAAUAAAUCAAUUCAUUAGAAAUUCGAAAGCUAUAUUCAUAGUUAAUGCGAAAUAUGUUUUUAACUUUAACAAAAGUUAUUGAUGAAAUUAAUGACUAAUAAGAAAUUAGAAUCAAUUUAUUUAAAUAAAUCCAUGAUUUUCUACAAUGACCAAAAUUUAUCAUUAUUCAAAAUUCAAUACUUUUAUUUUUUGAAAUUAUUUUUUUAAUCUCAUUUAUUUAAUUUUCCGAUUAAAAAUAAAAAUCCCCAAAGGUCCACCCCUUCUUUCCCUCGUCCGUUUCCCUCCACCCCAAAUUUAUUUUACUUCGCCCCCCACCCCCCACACCACCUGACAAACAGUAACUUCCCCUCCCCCAAACUCAAAAAUCACGUCAUCAGUCUCCCUUUUUUUUUUAUUACUUUUUAGUUCCCUUAUCAAAACCCUAGCCACCCUCCUUUUCCUCCUCCUUCUCGCCGUUGGCCGCACGACCCCCUCCCCUUCCUCUCCUCUUCCUCUCCUCUUCCUCUCGAUCCUUCUCCUUCUCCUCCUCACCACACGACCACCUGCCUCUCCGCAUGACCCCCUUCCUCUCCUCCUCCUCCUCCUUGUUGCCAAUCCAUCGCAACAAUGGCGGCCCUCGCUUCAGUUUCUGCUCUCUUUGGUUGUCUCUCACCAUUGCAGUAGUUCGUUGCAUGGCUUCAUCUUGCUAGCGGGAGUUUGCUUUCUCUGUCUUCUUUCCCUCCAUCUGUUGGAGAAAUCUUCUUGAAGUGUUUUGAAGUUGACAAAACGUUUCUAUCAGUCUAGUCUGAAGGCUUGCAGACUCUGCUAUUUAAAGUCUGAAGACCUCCGGACAGCCAGACUCAAGACUCAAAGUCUAUCCUCAUUGAUAGUCUCUAAUCCGUUGAAGAAAGGUUAUCCAGAACUGGAUGUUUCGUUAAGGAUUUAACCUUAUCAACUGGAGAAGAUCUCGUGGCUGGAGAAGACAUAACAGAGUCCUUUGAUUGAUUUAAGAUUGACUCGAUAAUUGAAGAUCCGGUGAUUGCCUAAAUAUUAUUGGAAGGUUCUGCUUAUGGAAACCGAGAUCCUGAUUGUAUGGGCGAACAUGAUUGAUGGGCUAUCAACACGUUCCUUUAAUAGCUUGAACAAUUUUUCUAAUUGAUUCCGUCCAACGGGUAGAUUGGAGGAAUUCCUUUGGUAAGUGCCAACGGGUAUGAUGGCAUAAAGGAGUAUAUAAGGAAGACUGUCUUAGUUGUUCAAGGUGUGCGCAAUAGAAGAAUUCCAAAGUCUGAAGCUCCUUUUUUGUUUAGACAAAUCCUUUGAGCGAAUACUUGUAUACGAAAGAGAGAGUCUAUAUUUGUGAGAAAUCUUGAGAAGGUGUGGUAGAACAUCUACACUGUGGAAUCAAGGCAAAUCUGUGCUGUAACUUCUCUUUUGUUCAUAGUGGAAUCCAGCCAAUAGGCUGUCAGUGAAGAAGAGUGGACGUAGGCUUGAUAUAAGCCGAACCACUAUAAAUCACGUGUUCAAUUUUCUCUUCUCUCAGUCUUACUUUGAUUAUCGUUUCCAUCAACUGUCUAGUAUUGUGCAAUUGUUGAAGAAAAAUCCUCUAUAUACCUAUUCACCCCCCUCUAGGUACUCAUACUAGCAAUAUCAAUUGGUAUCAAAGCCUGUGUACUUACUUUAUUUGAAGUGUUUUACUUCGUAGUAAAAGAUCCAUGGCUAGUAUGCUAGCACCAUGGCUGAUGGAAGGGCAAAGCAAUACCAGACCACCCUACUUUGAUGGAAAGGAUUACAACAUCUGGAAGAACAAGAUGAAAGCUUUCCUACGAUCAAAGGAUCCUCUGGAAUGGGACGUUGUAGAAAAAGGAAUUACUCCUACCACUGCAUUAGUCUCUGAAAGAGGAAAAGAAACUGAUGAAACUAGCGGAAUGUCUCAGGAAGAAAUAAUCAAGAGACAAGCACUCGAUACAAAAGCAAUUUACUCCUUAUAUUGUGCUUUAUCACCAACUGAAUAUAAUAGAAUAUCUUCUUGUGGUACAGCAAAAGAAGUUUGGGACAGAUUGCAUAUCACCUAUGAAGGAACAGAUUGAGUGAAGGAAACAAGAAUCAACAUUUUUCUCGGUCAAUACGAAGCCUUCAGAAUGAAACCAGGAGAAUCUAUAUCUGACAUGUUUAGUCGUUUUACAGAUAUUGUGAAUGGUCUUGAAAAUCAAGGUCAACCAACUUUUGAUCCCAUGAAGGUAAACAAGCUACUGCGUGGACUCUCCAGGAUUGGAAUCACAUAAAGACUUCGAUAAGUAAUUUUAAAAUUCCUGUCAAAGUUUCUAAAUACAUUGAUGAACUAUGUUUUAGUCUUAAGACUUCUCUCAAAAGAAUUUCCGAACUAAAAAAGGAAAACUCAGCUCUAAAACAAAAGGAAAAUGUUUUAGUAGAAAGAGUUAAAAGUCUAGACUUGACUGUUUCUAAUCUUAAAGAAAAUGAAGAUAAUCUUUUAAAAGAAAAUGCUUUUUUAAAAACAGACUUAUCAAAUACAUCAAAGAAAUUUUCAAUAGGGUCUGAAAAACUUGAGAAAAUUCUUUCAGCACAAAGACCUUACUUCAAUAAGUCCGGUCUAGGUAUGUUAGAAGAAACAAUUCCCUUGAUUGAUUUUCCUAAAGUAAAAGAAAGAAUUAAGAAAAGACUCUCGAGAGAGGUUUACAAAAAUCACUUCAAGAAAGUUUUUGUAAAAUCUAUAGGUAGAAAUGCUCUAAGAUGUUCAAAAUGCAACAGUCCGGAUCACUUUGAAAAAGAGUGUCCUAUGGUUUGGAAACCUGUUAAGAAAAUAUGGGCUAAUACUGCUUAUGUUACUAACACCAAAGGACCCAAGAAAGUUUUGGUACCAAAGAAAGCUUGAGACUCUUUUUUAAAUGCAGGUCACCGUCGAGAAAAAUGUGAAGUGGUAUCUUAACAGUGGAUGCUCAAGACACAUGACAGGAGACUCAAAUUGUUUUAUAAAGCUUGCUCAAGUAAAUGGUGGAAAAGUUUCAUUUGGAGGAAACAACAAAGGGAGUAUUGUGGGAUUUGGAACUGUGAAAAUUGGAAAUCUCACAAUAAGUAAUGUUUCCUUAGUGGAAGGACUCAAUUACAAUCUUCUCAGCAUUAGUCAAUUGUGUGAUACUGGUUUCAAGAUCUUCUUUCAAGAAGGAAUAUGUUCUGGAAUCAGUAAAGACUCUACUCAGUCUUUCAUGGGUCGUAGACAUGGAAACAUCUAUCUUCUGGAUGUGAAACCAAAUGAAUCGCAAUGUUUUAUCUCAAUUCAAGACGAAGCAAGCUUAUGGCACAGAAAGCUUGGUCAUGUAUGAAGCAAUUAGCCAAAAUCUCAUCAAAGCAGCUUGUUCGAGGACUACCCAAAUUACCUUAUCAAAAGACUGAUCCAUGCACUCCAUGUAUUCUGGGAAAGCAGGUAAGAAAUUCAUUUAAGCCAAUAAAUCAUGUCUCUACUAAUCAUGUACUACAGUUGCUGCAUAUGGAUCUCUUCGGACCAACCAGAACACAGAGUAUUGGAGGUAAGAAAUAUUGCCUAGUAAUUGUGGACGAUUACUCCCGUUUUACUUGGAUAUAUUUCCUUGCAAGUAAGUCUGAAACCUUCUCGUAUUUUGAAAAGUUUGCUAAAAAGGUUCAAAAUGAAAAAGGAUGUAUUAUCUCAAGUAUACAGAUCAUGGAGGUGAAUUUGAAAAUGAAGAUUUUACUAAAUUUUGUGAUGAAUCUGGCUUUAAUCAUGUGUUCUCCUCUCCAUAUACUCCUCAGCAAAAUGGACUUGUGGAAAGAAAGAACAGAUCUCUUCAAGAAAUGGCUAGAACUCUUUUAAUUGAAAGCAAGAUUUCUUCACGAUUUUAGGCUGAAGCUAUUUCAACAGCUUGUUAUAUCAUCAAUAGAGUCUUCUUAAGACCUAUUCUAGAGAAAACCCCUUAUGAGUUGUUCAAAGAUAAGAAGCCUAUUGUUUCAUACUUUCAUGUAUUCGGUUGCAAAUGUUUUAUAUUGAAAAAUGCAAAAGAUCGAGUUGGUAAGUUUGAAGAAAGAUCAGAUGAAGGUAUCUUCUUUGGAUAUUCUACAUCAAGCAAAGCCUUCAGAGUCUAUAACAAGAAGAGCCAGUCUGUGGAGGAGUCAAUGAAUGUCAAAUUUCAAGACUCAACGCAAGAUGAAUCAAGUCAGACUCAUCAAGAAGAGUCUGAACCUGCUCCAGAACUUCCAAAGCUUACAACUCAAGAAGCAUCUCAGACUCUGGAAAACCAGCAUCAGGAUGUUCGUGAAGAUCUAAACAAAGAGAGAGAUCAUCAACCAGACAAAUCAACAAGUAACUGGAAGCAUAAGUCUAGUCAUCCCAAAGAUCUUAUAAUCGGCGAAAUUAAUGAAGGAAUUCGCACCAGAUCCAAAAGGCGAGAAGAGUCUAGUGCUGUGGCUCUCGUUUCUGAAAUUGAACCAAAAAACAUAGAAGAAGCUUUAUCUGAUGAAAGCUGGAUUGAAGCUAUGCAAGAAGAGCUCAGACAGUUCAGCAUUAAUGAUGUCUGGGAAUUGACAUCCAAACCAAAAGGUAAAACUAUUAUUGGAGCUAAAUGGGUGUUCAGAAACAAGAUGAAUGAGAAAGGAAAAGUCGUACGAAACAAAGCAAGACUCGUGGCCAAGGGAUAUACGCAAGAAGAAAGAAUAGACUAUGAUGAGACUUACGCUCCAGUAGCAAGGUUAGAAGCUAUUCGACUAUUACUUGCGUUUGCUUGUUAUAAGAAUUUCAGGUUAUUCCAAAUGGACGUCAAAAGCGCCUUCCUAAAUGGAUUUAUCCAAGAGGAAGUUUAUGUGGAACAACCACCAGGGUUUGAAGACCCAAAGAAGCCAGACUCAGUCUUCAGACUGAAAAAGGCUUUGUAUGGUUUAAAGCAAGCACCUCGAGCUUGGUACGACAUAUUAAUCUAUGCAGGAUGAAUUUGAAAUGAGUAUGAUGGGAGAGUUAACAUUCUUUCUUGGUCUUCAAGUAAAACAAUUGAAGGAAGGAACUUUUAUUUAUCAAGAAAAAUAUGUUAAUGAUCUUGUCAAAAGAUUUGGACUGGAAAAGUGCAAAAAGACCGACAUACCGAUGUCAAGUUCUUUGAAGAUAGACAAAGAUGAAGAAGGGAAGAAAGUUGAUUAAAAGCUGUACAGGAGCAUCAUUGGUUCACUUCUUUAUCUUACCGCUUCUAGACCUGACAUUUUGUUGAGUGUUUGCAUCUGUGCUAGGUUUCAAUCAGAUCCAAGAGAAUCCCAUCUCAGUGCUGCGAAACACAUCAUUAAAUACAUUGCUUCAUCAUCAAGCAUCGGUCUUUGGUAUCCUAAGAAGGGAGACUUUAAUCUUCUGGGAUAUUCAGACGCAGAUCUGGCCGGUUGCAGAGUUGAUAGAAAAAGCACUUCGGGAACCUGCCAGUUGCUUGGAAGCAGGACAGUGUCUUAGUUUUCAAGAAAACAAAGCACUCUGUCCCUUUCAAUAACAGACGUAGAGUAUGUAGCCCUUGGAAGCUGCUGUUCGCAAAUUCUAUGGAUAAAACAGCAGCUAAGAGACUUUGAAAUUGAAGACUCAUGCACGGAGAUUAAUUGCGACAAUACCAACGCUAUCAACCUCACCAAAAAUCCUAUUCUCCACUCAAGAGCAAAGCAUAUAGAGAUUCGACAUCACUUUAUUAGAGACCAUGUUCAAAAUGGAGAUGUUUCAAUUCAAUUUGUUGACUCAAAGAAUCAACUGGCGGAUAUAUUCACAAAGCCUUUGGAGAAAAAUCAAUUUGAGUCUAUACGUUCCAGACUCAACAUUUUGAGGUAUGAGGAUAUCAAAGUCUAAAGACUUUUAGACUUAGACUUACAAGACUUUAUCUGAAAGACAGUCUUGGUACGUCCGUCAGACUGUAAGUCUUUCUCUCUUGAAUCUCAUCUUGAAAAGGUACGAUCGUCAGACUGUGUUUAAAUUGUUGCUAUAUUUAAUUGACGUAAAUAUUGCAUCGUUUCAUUUUCAAAAAGGAAGUUAUUUUUGAAAUGGCUAUUUUUCAGAAAAAGACAGUUAUUUUGAAAAGGCAUAUUUUUAUUUCCUUUGUGACGGUUCGUUUAUCCCUCUUUUUAACCGAUCGUGCACUGUCGAUUCCUCUUCACUUUUCUCUCAAAAACCCUAGAAAGCAUCGAUCCUUCAUUCCCGUUUGUCUUCUUCGUUUAAUCCUCAAAAAGUUGUCAUCUUUCCUGGGAAAGUCAAGUAAGGAAUCUUCCAAAAACUGAGAAAUAUGUCAUCUUCAAGAAAGUCUUCAAGAAUCGCAAGCAGGGGACCACGGCGGAUGAGUGAGGGGCCUACGCACUUCGAUCUUACUGAAGAAGAAGUGACUCCAGAACAGCAAGCGAGCCCACAACAUUCUCAGCAGCGUCAUUCUCCUCCCUCUAGUCCUAAAGGCGUUGAUCAACAACAACAGGAAGAAAUCAUCGAGGAAGCAGACCCUGUAAGAGUUCAAAAGCCCGCUUAUAUUUACCAGUUAUAUCGUGCCUUAAAAGGAAUUCGUACUCCUUUGAACUACAUUGAUGAGUUUCUUAAAGACAAAGGACAUGGGAACGAAUAUAUCUUUAUGCGAAAAAUGGAAAGUUUGGGAAUUGCUCGAAAAGGGGUGGCUGAGGAAACCCUUGCAAAUAUUGAUAUUGCUAGUAUAAACACCUAGAGGGGGGUGAAUAGGCGCACAAACAAUUUUUCUUGAAUACGGAAGCAAUUCUUAACAGAUUGAUAUACGUUUGAAGUAAAGAGAGUAAGGAAGAGAAAAUUAAACACAGGAUUUAUAGUGGUUCGGAUUAUUCCAAUCCUACGUCCACUCUUCCGCACUGACAGCCAACCGGCUGGAUUUCACUAUAAUAAAAAGAGAAGUUACAGCACAGCUUUGCCUUGAUUCCACAGUGUAGAUGUUCUACCACACCUCCUCAAGGUCUCUCACAAAUAUAGACUCUCUUUUGUAUACAAGUAAUCGCUCAAGAGAUUUAUCUAAACAAAUGGGAGCUUCAGACUUUGGAAUUUUUCUAUCGCGCACACCUCGAACAACUAAGAACGACUUCCUUAUAUACUCCUUUAUGCCAUCAUACCCGUUGGCACUUACCAAAGGAAUUCCUCCAAUCUAACCGUUGGACAUAAUCAAUUAGGAAGAUUGUUCGAGUUAUUAAAGGAACAUGUUGAUAGCCCAUCAAUCCUGUUCGCCCAUACAAUCAGGAUCUCGGUUUCCAUAAGUAGAACCUUCCAAUAAUAUAUAGAUAAUCAUCGAAUCUUCAGUCAUUGAAUCAAUCUUGAUCAAUCAAAGGAUUCUGAUAUGUCUUCUCCAGCCACGAGAUCUUCUCUAGAUGAUAAGGUUAAAUCCUGAACAAACCACUUAGUUCUGGAUAACCUUUCUUCAACGAAUUCGAGACUGUCAAUGAGGAUAGACUUUGAGUCUUGAGUCUGGCUGUCCGGAAGUCUUCAGACUUUAAACUGACAGAGUCUGCAGACUUUCAGACUAGACCGAAUGAUACGUUUUGUCAACUUCAAAACUCUUCAUGAGGAUUUCUCCAACAAUGUCCCCCUUUUUGAUGGUGACAAAACCUUCCUACAGAUUUGGAUAACUUUGACCUGCAAAACAUUUCUCAAACACAUAUGCAUAUCUUAUUGAAAUAAAUGGCUAAUAGAAUAACACUAGAUUCUGCAACCACAGAAAAUAAGUUAGUCCAAUAUAUGAUUAAUCCAUUCAUAAGAUAUCAAUAUUGAUAAAUAGAAGCAGUCAAGUUAAAUCCAAGUCUAGGCAUCCAGACACAAAAUAAAGUCAAAGUCUGUCAAAAACAAACAGACAGUUUAAACAUAAUCCAUCAAAAUAAAAAGAUUGAAAGUUUUGUUUUUCAAAUCAUGAUGCAUCUCUCCCCCUUUUUGUCAACAUUUAAAAAGGAUGAGAUGAAAUCAAGAUUGCUUGGGAACGCGGACAAGCUGGAAAUCUUCCAUAGACUGAACAAUGCCUUCCAGCCUCUUAAAGUCUUCUUUCAGCUGUACAACCUCCUCACUCUUGGCAUUAGCCUGAUUCUGAAUAGAGAGGGCUUGCAUCUUUUCAUUUAAUGAACAGGAAGAAGCUUGACCUUCAUUCUUCAAGCUUUGAACUUCGCAUCCCAAGGCAUAUAUCUGACCUUUCAUCUCCAAUAGAAUAUCCAUGAUUCUACGAAAAUCUGCUCCAUUAUCAGUCUGAGUACUUGCUUCUGCUCGUUCUGAUGGAGUAAAAGCAGACGAUGGUGGAUCAGCAUAAUCUCGCAGGUUUGGCGAUAAAGCUUCAUGACCUUCCUCUGGAAAUUGAGAUGCAUAAACAUCUUCUGGGUCUGCAGGCGAACGACUGACUCCUUCACUUUCAUCUGGAAAUGAAGAUGUCACUCCUUUCUCCUGAACUCCCCCUGUUUUCAUGCCUACAGGUGGAGAAGAGAUUUCCUCAGUUUCUCCUUCUCUUCCUUCUUCUUCAGGUCUUUCUUUCUCUGCUUCUUGUUCUGUUUCUCUUUCUCCUUCCUCCUUCUCCUUUGCUUCUCUUUCUUCUUCCUCUUUCUCUGCCUCUUUCGUCUUUUGUUCCGAUUCUUUCUGAGGAACAGGACGACUUAAGUUCUUUAAAGCCAUUGCAGAGAUGGUGAUGUCAUCAUCAUCAUCUUCAUCCUCAACGAGGAGAACUCUUCUUUUCUUUGAUGGAGCAGCCAUGGGCUCCUUCCCUUUUCUCUUAGCAGCAGAAGAGAGUUGAUGAGACUUGGCAGGAGUCUUGAAUUUCUCCAAUUCCUUGCUCAGUUCUUUCAGACGCAUUUUAGUCACCAUUUUCAGUCCUACCACCAUUUGAUCGCAUGAUCGAACACAAAGGAUUUGUGGAGGCUGAAUAUUCAGAUGUCUGAAUAACUUCGUAACAAGGCUUGGAUAAGGGAGUUGACCUCUGUCCUUCAUCACUGCUCUAUACAUGUGAAACAUGAUAGUAUGAGGGAGAGAAAACUUCUUUCCACAGAGGAUGGCAUACAUCAGCUUUGCCUCAGAGCUUGAAACAUCAGUUUUGGAAGUUGAUUUCGGCCGAAGGCAAUUAAUCACAGUUUUGUGAAGCAGGAUGUUGAAUGCAUUCAUCCUUGAGUAGGUGAUCUUCUCUUCUGUUCUUCUGUCCUUCACCAGUUCAAGAGUGGCCCGAGCAAUGGAAACCUUAAUCGGUUGAUAUCUCCCUCUCUCAACUUCUAACACAUCAGCCAGCAUAUCCAUAUCAACAACAUAGUCUUGAUCUUUGACACUGAAGGAAAAUCUAUUCGCAUCUAAAAAACUAAGAUUUGAAUAGAAAUACGCAGUCAGUUCAGCAUAAGCCUCUGUUGAGUCAGAACAGAACUUUUCCAAUUGAAGAUAAUUGAACUUUUCCCUCAAGUUCACUUUCACAGCAUCCAGAAAAUCAAAGUCCACACUCCUAGGGUUUAUUACCCCUCGCUUCAGCAAUUUCGAGUACAUAUCCUUUUGUUCCUUAGAUCUGAACAAAUCUCCCCUUUUUCCUUGAAUUUCAGCCGCAAUACCCAUUUUCGGUUGAAAUAAACUGAACAUAUUGUCAUCAUCAUUCCCAUCUACAGGAUUUGGCCCCCAGUCACGAGGAUCACUUGGGAUAUUCGCAAGGGUUUCCUCAGCCACCCCUUUACGAGCAAUUCCCAAACUUUUCAUUCUUUUCAGAAAGAUAUAUUCGUUCCUAUAUCCUUUUUCUUUAACAAAACUAUCAAUAUAGUUCAAAGGAGUACGAAUUCCUUUUAAAGCACGAUAUAACUUGUAGAUAAAAGCAGGCUUUUGAGAUCUUACGGGGUCUGCUUCCUCGAUGAUUUCUUCCUGUUGAACAAUGUCUUGAGGACUAGAUGAUGGAGAGUGACGCUGCUGAGAAUGUUGUGGGCUCGGAUGCUGAUCUGGAGAAACUUCAUCUUCCGUAAGAUCAAAGUGAGUAGGCCCUUCACUCAUCUUCUGUGGUCCCCUGCUUGCGAUUCUUGACUUUCUUGAAAACGACAUCUUUCUCAGUCAAUGGAAGAUUUCUUGCUUGACUUUCACAGAAAAGAUGACAACUUUUUAAGAUUGAACGAAGGAGACAAACGGAAGUGGAGGAUCGAUGUUUUCUAGGGUUUUGAGAGUAAAGUGAAUAGAAAGGUGAAGAGUAAUCGAUAGUGUUCGUUCGGUUAAAAAGAGAAGAAAACGAAUCGUCACAAAGGAAAUAAAAUAUGCAUUUUCAAAAUAACUGCCUUUAUCCGGAAAAAUAGCUAUUUCAGAAGUAACUUCCUUUUUGAAAAUGAAUCGUUGCAAAAUUUACGGUUAAUAAAUAUAGCAAUAAUUUAAACAGAGUCUGAUGAUCGUACCUUUUCAAGAUAAGAUUGGAGAGAGAAAGUCUUACAGUCUGAAGGUUGAGACAAGACUGUAGAUAAGGUCUUAUAAGCCUGAGUCUGAAGGUCUUUAGACUUUGAUAUCCUCAUACCUCAAAAUGUUGAGUCUGGUCCGUAUAGACUCAAAUUGAUUUUUGUCCAAAGGCUUUGUGAGUAUAUCAGCCAGUUGAUUCUUUGAGUCAACAAAUUGAAUUGAGACAUCUCCAUUUUGAACAUGAUCUCUAAUGAAGUGAUGUCGAAUCUCUAUAUGCUUUGCUCUUGAGUGGAAAAUUGGAUUUUUGGUGAGGUUGAUAGCGCUGGUGUUGUCGCAAUUAAUCUCCGUGCAUGAGUCUUCAAUUUCAAAAUCUCUUAGCUGUUGUUUUAUCCAUAGAAUUUGCGAACAGCAGCUUCCAAGAGCUACAUACUCUGCUUCUGUUGUUGAAAGGGACACAGUACUUUGCUUCCUAGAAAACCAAGACACUGUUCUGCUUCCAAGCAACUGGCAAGUUCCUGAAGUGCUCUUUCUAUCAACUCUGCAACCGGCCAUAUCUGCGUCUGAAUAACCCAGAAGAUUAAAGUCUCCCUUCUUAGGAUACCAAAGACCGAUGCUUGAUGAUGAAGCGACAUAUUUGAUGAUGCGUUUCGCAGCACUGAGAUGAGAUUCUUUAGGAUCUGAUUGAAACCUUGCACAGAUACAAACACUUAACAAAAUAUCAGGUCUAGAAGCAGUAAGAUAAAGAAGUGAUCCGAUAAUGCUCCUGUACAGUUUUUGAUCAACUUUCUUUCCUUCUUCAUCUUUGUCUAUCUUUAAAGAACUUGACAUUGGUAUGUCGACCUUUUUGCAAUUCUCCAGUCCAAACCUUUUGACAAGAUCAUUGACAUAUUUUUCUUGAAAAAUAAAAGUUCCUUCUUUCAAUUGCUUUAUUUGAAGACCAAGAAAGAAUGUUAAUUCUCCCAUCAUACUCAUUUCAAACUCCUCCUGCAUAGACUUUGAAAAUUUCUUGCACAGACUUUCAUUAGAGGAUCCAAAAAUGAUAUCAUCUACAUAUAUUUGAACAAGUAAGAAACUUUUGUUUUCCUUCUUGAUAAAUAAAGUCGUAUCUACUUUACCUUUGACAAAACCAUUUUGUAAAAGGAAAUUACUUAACCUGUCGUACCAAGCUCGAGGUGCUUGCUUUAAACCAUACAAAACCUUUUUCAGUCUGAAGACUGAGUCUGGCUUCUUUGGGUCUUCAAACCCUGGCGGUUGUUCCACAUAAACUUCCUCAUGGAUAAAUCCAUUUAGAAAUGCGCUUUUGACGUCCAUUUGGAAUAACCUGAAAUUCUUAUAACAAGCAAACGCAAGUAAUAGACGAAUAGCUUCUAACCUUGCUACUGGAGCGUAAGUCUCAUCAUAGUCUAUUCCUUCUUCUUGCGUAUAUCCCUUGGCCACGAGUCUUGCUUUAUUUCGUACGACUUUUCCUUUCUCGUUCAUCUUGUUUCUGAACACCCAUUUGGCUCCAAUAACAGUUUUACCUUUUGGUUUGGAUGUCAAUUCCCAGACAUCAUUUAUGCUGAAUUGUCUGAGCUCUUCUUGCAUAGCUUCAAUCCAGCUUUCAUCAGAUAAAGCUUCUUCUGUGCUCUUUGGUUCAAUUUCAGAAACAAGAGCCACAGCACUAGACUCUUCUCUCCUUUUGGAUCUGGUGCGAAUUCCUUCAUUCAUUUCGCCAAUUAUGAGAUCUUUGGGAUGACUGGAUUUAUGCUUCCAGUUACUUGUUGAUUUGUUUGGUUGAUGAUCUCUUUCUUUAUUUAGAUCUUCACUAACAACCCGAUGCUGGUUUUCCAGAGUCUGAGAUGCUUCUUGAGUUGUAGACUUUGGAGGGUCUGGAGCAGGUUCAGACUCUUCUUGAUGAGUCUGUCUUGAUUCAUCUUGCGUUGAGUCUUGAAAUUUGACAUUCAUUGACUCCUCUACAGACUGACUCUUCUUGUUAUAGACUCUGUAAGCUUUGCUUGAAGUAGAAUAUCCAAGGAAGAUACCUUCAUCUGAUCUUUCUUCAAACUUACCAACACGAUCUUUUGCAUUUUUCAAUAUGAAACAUUUGCAACCAAAUACAUGAAAGUAUGAAACAAUAGGCUUCUUUUCUUUGAAUAACUCAUAAGGGGUUUUCUGAAGAAUAGAUCUUAAGAAGACUCUAUUGAUGAUAUAGCAAGCUGUUGAAACAGCUUCAGCCCAAAAUCGAGAAGUAAUUUUACUUUCAAUUAGAAGAGUUCUAGCCAUUUCUUGAAGAGAUCUGUUCUUUCUUUCCACAACUCCAUUUUGCUGAGGAGUAUAUGGAGAGGAAAACACAUGUUUACAUCCAGAUUCAUCACAGAAUUUUGUAAAAUCUUGAUUUUCAAAUUCUCCUCCGUGAUCUGAUUUUAUACAAGAGAUUACACAUCCUUUUUCAUUUUGAACCUUUUUAGCAAAUUUUUCAAAAUACGAAAAGGUUUCUGACUUACUUGAGAGGAAAUAUACCCAAGUAAAACGGGAGUAAUCAUCAACAAUUACUAGACAAUACUUCUUACCCCCAAUACUCUGAGUCCUGGUUGGUCCGAAGAGAUCCAUAUGCAGCAACUGCAGAACAUGAUUAGUAGAGACAUGAUUUAUUGGCUUAAAAGAAUUUCUUACCUGCUUUCCCAAAAUACAUGGAGUGCAUGAAUCAGUCUUUUGGUAUGGCAAUUUGGGUAGAUCUCGAACAAGCUGCUUUGAUGAGAUUUUGGCUAAUUGCUUCAUGUUGACAUGACCAAGCUUUUUGUGCCAUAAGCUUGCUUCGUCUUGAAUUGAGAUAAGACAUUGCGAUUCAUUUGGUUUCACAUCCAGAAGAUAGAUGUUUCCAUGUCUUCGACCCAGAAAAGAUUGAGUAGAGUCUUUACUGACUCCAGAACAUGUCCCUUCUUGAAAGAAUAUCUUGAAACCAGUAUCACACAAUUGACUAAUGCUGAGAAGAUUGUAAUUGAGUCCUUCCACCAAGGAAACAUUACUUAUUGUGAGAGUCCCAAUUUUCACGGUUCCGAAUCCCACAAUACUUCCUUUGUUGUUUCCUCCAAAUGAAACUUUUCCACCAUUUACUUGAGCAAGCUUUAUAAAACAAUUUGAGUCUCCUGUCAUGUGUCUUGAGCAACCGCUGUCAAGAUACCACUUUACCUGUUUCUUGAUGGAGACCUGCAUUUAAUAAAGAGUCUCAAGCUUUCUUUGGUACCCAAACUUUCUUGGGUCCUUUGGUGUUAGUAAGAUAAACAGUAUUAGCCCAUACUCUUUUAAUAGGUUUCCAUACCAAAGGACACUCUUUUUCAAAGUGUUCCUUACUGUUGCACUUAGAACAUCUGAGAGAAUUUCUUCCUACAGGUUUUACAAAGACUUUCUUAAAAUGAUUUUUGUAAACUUCACUCGAAAGAAAGAAUUUUCUCAAGUUUUUCAGACCCUAUUGAAAAUUUCUUUGAUAUAUUUGAUAAGUCUGUUUUCAAGAAAGCAUUUUCUUUUAAAAGAUUUCCUUCUUUUUCUUUAAGAUUAGAAACAGACAAGUCUAAGCUUUUAACUCUUUCUGUUAAAACAUUUUCCUUUUGUUUUAGAGCUAAGUUUUCCCUUUUUAAUUUGGAAAUUCUUUUGAGAGAAAUCUUAAGACUUAAGCAUAGUUCAUUAAUAUAAUUAGAAACUUUGACAGGAAUCUUAAAAUUACUUGCCUCAAAUUCACUGUCUGAGUCUGAUCCUGAGUCUGAUCCAGAGUCUGAGUCUGAUCGUGCCAUCAGACAUAGAUUUGCAUAUUCAUUAUCACUUUCUUCACACUCAGUAUCACUCCAGGUUUCAGCUUUGAGAGCUUUUCGAAACUUUUCAGCCUUUCCUUUCUUCUUUUUUAGAAGAGGACAGUUGGGUCUGAUGUGUCCCUUCUUCUUGCAUUCAAAGCAGACUAUAUCUUUAUUUGGUUCCUCAUCAUCAACAGACUUGGUCUGCUGUCUUUGAAAGCCUGGUUUCUUUGAGUUGAACCUUCUCCCUUUUCUAUUUAGUUUUCUGAAUCUUCUUAUCAUGAGAGCAAGCUCCUCAUCGUCCAUAUCAUCUUCAGAAUCUGUAACAUCAGAAUCAUCAUUUGAUUUUAAUGCAAUGGAUUUCUUACCUCUUGGAUCUUCUUCUUCAUUUAUCCUUUCCACUUCAUAGGACUGAAGCGUUCCAAUAAGCUCAUCAACAGACAGUGGCAUAAUUCUCUGCGUCUCUCUUAUCGAAGUCUUUAUGUGAUUCCAAUCCUUGGAGAGUCCACGCAGAAGCUUGUUUACCUUCAUGGGAUCAGAAGUUGGUUGACCUUGAUUUUCAAGACCAUUCACAAUAUCUGUAAAACGACUAAACAUAUCAGAUAUUGAUUCUCCUGGUUUCAUUCUAAAGGCUUCAUAUUGACCGAGAAGAAUGUUGAUUCUUGUUUCCUUCACUCGAUCUGUUCCUUCAUAAGUGAUAUGCAAUCUGUCCCAAACUUCUUUUGCUGUACCACAAGAAGAUAUUCUAUUAUACUCAGUUGGUGAUAAAGCACAAUAUAAAGAGUAAAUUGCUUUUGCAUCGAGUGUUUGUCUUUUGGUUAUUUCUUCCUGAGACAAUCCGCUGGAUUCUUCAGUAUCUUUUCCUCUUUCAGAGACUGGUGCAGUGGUAGGAAUUAUUCCUUUUUCUACAACAUCCCAUUCCAGAGGAUCCUUUGAUCGUAGGAAAGCUUUCAUCUUGUUCUUCCAGAUGUUGUAAUCCUUUCCAUCAAAGUAAGGUGGUCUGGUAUUGCUUUGCCCUUCCAUCAGCCCUGGUGCUAGCAUACUAGCCAUGGAUCUUUUACUAUGAAGUAAAACACUUCAAAUAAAGUAAGUACACAGGCUCUGAUACCAAUUGAUAUUGCUAGUAUAAACACCUAGAGGGGGGUGAAUAGGCGCACAAACAAUUUUUCUUGAAUACGGAAGCAAUUCUUAACAGAUUGAUAUACGUUUGAAGUAAAGAGAGUAAGGAAGAGAAAAUUAAACACAGGAUUUAUAGUGGUUCGGAUUAUUCCAAUCCUACGUCCACUCUUCCGCACUGACAGCCCACCGGCUGGAUUUUACUAUAAUCAAAAGAGAAGUUACAGCACAGCUUUGCCUUGAUUCCACAGUGUAGAUGUUCUACCACACCUCCUCAAGGUCUCUCACAAAUAUAGACUCUCUUUUGUAUACAAGUAAUCGCUCAAGAGAUUUAUCUAAACAAAUGGGAGCUUCAGACUUUGGAAUUUUUCUAUCGCGCACACCUCGAACAACUAAGAACGACUUCCUUAUAUACUCCUUUAUGCCAUCAUACCCGUUGGCACUUACCAAAGGAAUUCCUCCAAUCUAACCGUUGGACAUAAUCAAUUAGGAAGAUUGUUCGAGUUAUUAAAGGAACAUGUUGAUAGCCCAUCAAUCCUGUUCGCCCAUACAAUCAGGAUCUCGGUUUCCAUAAGUAGAACCUUCCAAUAAUAUAUAGAUAAUCAUCGAAUCUUCAGUCAUUGAAUCAAUCUUGAUCAAUCAAAGGAUUCUGAUAUGUCUUCUCCAGCCACGAGAUCUUCUCUAGAUGAUAAGGUUAAAUCCUGAACAAACCACUUAGUUCUGGAUAACCUUUCUUCAACGAAUUCGAGACUGUCAAUGAGGAUAGACUUUGAGUCUUGAGUCUGGCUGUCCGGAAGUCUUCAGACUUUAAACUGACAGAGUCUGCAGACUUUCAGACUAGACCGAAGGAUACGUUUUGUCAACUUCAAAACUCUUCAUGAGGAUUUCUCCAACAAAUAUCCCAAGUGAUCCUCGUGACUGGGGGCCGAAUCUUGUGGAUGAUGAUGACAAAUUAUUCAGUCAAUUUCAACCAAAAAUGGGUGUUGCGGUUGAAAAUCAAGGGAAAAGGGGAGAUUUGUUCAGAUCGAAGGAGCAAAAGGAUCUGUACUCGAAAUUAUUGAAGCGUGGGGUAAUAAACCCUAGGAGUGUUGAUUUUGAUUUUCUGGAUGCUGUGAAUAUGAACUUGAGGGAAAAGUUCAGUUAUCUUCAACUCGAAAAGUUCUGCUCUGACUCUACAGAGGCAUAUGCUGAAUUAACUGCAUAUUUCUAUUCAAAUCUAAGCUUUUUAGAUGCGAAUAGAUUCUCUUUCAGCGUUAAAGACCAAGACUAUGUUGUGGAUAUGAAUAUGCUGGCAGAUGUGUUAGAAGUCGAAAGAGGAAGAUAUCAACCAAUCAAAGUUUCCAUUGCUCGGGCCACACUUGAACUGGUGAAGGACAGGAGAACAAAUGAAAAUAUCACCUACUUAAGGAUGGGUGCAUUCAACAUCUUGCUUCACAAGAUUGUGAUUAAUUGCCUCCGACCGAAAUCAACUUCCAAGACUGAUGUUUCAAGUUCAGAGGCCAAGCUGAUGUAUGCCAUUCUCUUUGGAAAAAGGUUUUCUCUCCCUCACACUGUGAUGUUUCACAUGUAUAGAGCAAUGCUGAAGGACAGAGGUCAACUCCCUUACCCAAGCCUUGUUACGAAGUUAUUCAGACAUCUGAAUAUUCAGCCUCCACAAAUCUUUUGUGUUCGACCAUGCGAUAAUAUUGUGGUAGGACUGAAAAUGGUGACCAAAAUGCGUCUGAAGGAACUGAGCAAGGAGUUGGAGAAAUUCAAGGAGAAGACUCCUGCAAAAUCUCAUCAAAUCUCUUCUGCAGCUAAAAGAAAAGGGAAGGAGCCCAUGGUUGCUCCAUCCAAGAGAAGAAGAGCUCUCCUCGUUGAGGAUGAAGAUGAUGAGGAAGACAUCACCAUCUCUGCAUUGGCUUUGAAGAAUUUAAGUCGUCCUGUUCCACAGAAAGAAUUAGAACAAAUGACGAAAGAAGCAGAGGAGAAGGAAGAAGAAGAAAUAGAAGCUGAAAAAGAAACAGAGGAGGAAAGACCAUAAGAAGAAAGAAGAGAAGAAGGAGAACCUGAGGAACACUCUUCUCCACCUGUAGGCAUGGAAAUAGGGGGAGAUCAGCAGAAAGGAGUGAAGUCUUCAUGUCCCGAUGCAAGUGAAGGAGUCAGUCGCUCACCAGCAGACCUAGAGGAUGUUUAUGCAUCUCAGUUUCCAGAAGAAGGUCAUGAAGUUUCAUCGCCAAACCUGCGAGAUUAUGCUGAUCUACCAUCGUCUGCAUUUACUCCAUCAGAUCGAGCCGAAGCAAGUACUCAGACUGAUAAUGGAGCAGAUUUUCGCAGAAUCAUGGAUAUUCUCUUGGAGAUGCGAGGUCAAAUUUAUGCCUUGGGAUGCGAAGUUCAAAGCUUGAAGAAUGAAGGUCAAGCUUCUUCCUGUUCAGUGAAUGAUAAAAUGCAAGCCCUCUCUGUUCAGAAUCAGGCCAAUGCCAAGAGUGAGGAGAUUGCACAACUAAAGGAAGACUUUAAAAGGCUGGAAGGCAUCGUUCAGUCUAUGGAAGAUUUCCAGCUUGUCCGCGUUCCCAAGCAAUCUUGACUUCAUCUCAUCCUUUUUAAUGAUGACAAAAAGGGGGAGAGAUGCAAGAUUUGAUCAAAAAAAUUUCAUUCAUUAAACUUUUAAUUGUUUGUUGGAUUGUUUUGUGGUUUAAACUCUGUUUGACUUUGUUUUGUGUCUGGAUGAGAACUGAACUAGACUUGGACUUGACUACUUCUAUUAACCAAUAUUGAUAUCUUAUGAAUGGCUUCAUCAUAUACUGGACUAACCUAUUUUCUGUGGUUGCAGAUCCUAGUGUUAUUCUGUUAGCCAUUUAUCUCUAUAAGAUAUGCAUAUGUGUUUGAGAAAUGUUUUGCAGGUCAAAGAUAUCCAAAUCUGCAGGAAAGUUUUGUCACCAUAAAAAAGGGGGAGAUUAUUGGAGAAAUCUUCUUGAAGUGUUUUGAAGUUGACAAAACGUUUCUAUCAGUCUAGUCUGAAGGCUUGCAGACUCUGCUAUUUAAAGUCUGAAGACCUCCAGACAGCCAGACUCAAGACUCAAAGUCUAUCCUCAUUGACAGUCUCUAAUCCGUUGAAGAAAGGUUAUCCAGAACUGGAUGUUUCGUUAAGGAUUUAACCUUAUCAACUGGAGAAGAUCUCGUGGCUGGAGAAGACAUAACAGAGUCCUUUGAUUGAUCUAAGAUUGACUCGAUAAUUGAAGAUCCGGUGAUUGCCUAAAUAUUAUUGGAAGGUUCUGCUUAUGGAAACCGAGAUCCUGAUUGUAUGGGCGAACAUGAUUGAUGGGCUAUCAACACGUUCCUUUAAUAGCUUGAACAAUCUUCCUAAUUGAUUCCGUCCAACGGGUAGAUUGGAGGAAUUCCUUUGAUAAGUGCCAACGGGUAUGAUGGCAUAAAGGAGUAUAUAAGGAAGACUGUCUUAGUUGUUCAAGGUGUGCGCGAUAGAAGAAUUCCAAAGUCUGAAGCUCCUUUUUUGUUUAGACAAAUCCUUUGAGCGAAUACUUGUAUACGAAAGAGAGAGUCUAUAUUUGUGAGAAAUCUUGAGGAGGUGUGGUAGAACAUCUACACUGUGGAAUCAAGGCAAAGCUGUGCUGUAACUUCUCUUUUGUUCAUAGUGGAAUCCAGCCAAUAGGCUGUUAGUGAAGAAGAGUGGACGUAGGCUUGAUAUAAGCCGAACCACUAUAAACUGCGUGUUCAAUUUUCUCUUCUCUCAGUCUUACUUUGAUUAUCGUUUCCAUCAACUGUCUAGUAUUGUGCAAUUGUUGAAGAAAAAUCCUCUAUAUACCUAUUCACCCCCCUCUAGGUACUCAUACUAGCAAUAUCACCAUCUUCUUCCGGACACGCGUGUCAAAACAUGUUGAGAAACGUUGACUGCGUGUCCGACCGUGUCCGACACGCUUUGACACGUGUCGGACAUGACAUAGAAGCAUGGGGAACAUGUCUGUGUUUCAUAGGGAGGGACGUGGGGAUUGGGGACAUUACAAGUAUAUUUUGGUGGGAAAAAUAAUCUAAUUGUUGGUUCAACUUCUAAACCAAUCUCAUUUUCUUUUGUUCAACAACAAGAUGGAGAAGACUCCAAAAAGGUAUCUUGCCACUUCUGGGCUUUCUAAGCCUGUAACUAUCAGCUGUGCUAGAUUUCUCAGCUACGCGGGAAAAAGAAACGAAAGGAGAUGGUUCAUGAUUUCACUCUAUGUACAAUAGUAGGACGAAGUCCGGAGUUUUGGUUGAAGAAGUCAAUAAUUUAAGGAUAAAAAUCUAAGUUUUGUCAGCGAUCAUUGUACAUGAAAUGCAUACUCAUCUAAAACUUGUCUAAAUUUAUUAAGUGCAUUUAAUAAAUUCAUUAACCUUCUCUUAAGUUUUCCGUUCCCUUUCUCUAUUAUAUCCAUUCACGUGCACUCAAUACUUUUCAAUUUUCAUGUAUCCAUUUGCAUGCUAGAGUUAAGGACGAUGGUCACUUACAUUCAAUUUGUUUUUUUUUUUUUUUGGGUAUGCCUGGCCUUUUUUUCACCUAUAAGAGGGUAGAAUAUUUGUUAUUCUGGUCUUUAUGUGCAUUUCAUCUCCUUUUUUUCUCCUCAGAAAUGGGUCUUAGUUGCAAAAUUAAUUCAUCAGAAAUCGAUUUUUCUUUUUCCAAUUUGAUCUUGACUUGCUAUUGAAUGGAUAAUCGGUUAUCAUCACUCCCAAUUAGAUUAGAAAUAUGACUACAUCUCAAUAUAUCAAUUUACAUCCGAACUGUAAAAAAUGAGACUCGGCAAUAAUCUAUUUCUUAUGUAUGGAUCAUCUUUCCUACUGGUAUCUCGAAAAGCAAAUGAUUUUUUUUUUUUGGCAUAAACAUUUUUGUUGAGUGUCUUAAAAAAUUAACUACAUUUAAAAAUGCAGCAAAAAUACAAAGAGAUAAGAGGAAUGGUGAGGGAUUUUGAUUUCACAUGAAUUAGCAAAAACGAUUGAGAACUUAUGAGCUGAAACUUUCUUCUAUGCAAUCCAUCUUAAAUGACAAUAUAAUAGCCAACCUGGCGAGGUUUUUUUUUUUUUUUUUUACUAUUUAGGAAUUUUAUAUUAUGCUUUCCAGAUAGUAGUGUACGUAAUUGAUGAACAAACAAAAGAUCAAAAAAAUAUUUAAUAACCGACUUAAUACUACCAUAGAAGUUUCAACACAUAUCACAAAUAUGAUAUAACCAUAUUCUUGCAUGUGGUAGCUUAUUAACUAUAAAUGUAUCUAUAACACACGGGUUUGAAAACUAGUCUAAUUUAUAAUAGGGGCUUCUGAACAUUAAAUGCAUUCAAUUUAAUGAGAAACAUUCUUUUCUUAUCCAAAUUGAAGUUUUAUAUUUUUUUUUUCACUUGAAAUAGAAUUAGUCGCAGAAAAGAGUGGGAAUAUGCGAAACAAGAUUCAAGAAUAGAAAAAAAAAUGAUUUAAUAACAGUAAAGUUGACUAUGAUCUGCAUAAUAUAUUAUUUGAUAGAAAAAGUACAUAAUGACUAACAUGCAUCAAUACCAUAACAUAUAGCGAAAAAUUACUUUGGUUUAAUCAGAUACAAAAUUUAGUAAAGUAAAAAUAUUAGAGUUGAUUUUGCUUGACUAAAGAAUGAUGAUUGCUUAAAAAUGACAAUAUUUGCGCCAAAUUAAAAGGAAAAAUAAUCUACGAUAAUUCAAUUUUAAUAAAAUAUGAUAUAUAAGAUGUUUGAUGACUCAAAGUGUAUUUAUAAUUUGUAUGUAAGAUAAAUGAACCUAUCUCAGUCCAUCAUAUAAUAAGAGACGCAUUUUUCUGAUUUUUUCUUCGAUUGUUUAGAUUAUGUCACCGUUAUCACUCUAAAAUAUUAAAUUCCCAUAUUAGUUAGAAGUGAAAAAAUUGGACAAUGAAGUAACAUAGAUUUCUUCUAUUUUGAAAUAUAAAACUCUUACAAAACAUAGGGGAGUGCACUAGCUAUAUUAAAAGGAGUAAUAUUAGUAUACACUAUCGAUGUAAAAAGAUAGUUACACAAGACAUCACAAACUGUGAAGGAGUUCCAUAAUUCAUGUCACUAAAACAAACAAGUACUGUAUAGUGUUCUGAGGUAUGCUCAGACCAUUAAAAUAGAAGUAAUAAAAUACUGAAUUGCAUCAUCUUGUAUGACGACUCCAAAUUCACAUUAACGGCUCAAGGGCUAGUAGUAGCGACAGCUGUGUCCUUGGGAAUUGUGGGAACGAAAGGCAAUGUUGGCUUGGGAAAAUCAGGAAGAUGAGGCAAUUCAGGCACUUCUGACAAUUCCGGCUUCGGUAUUGUUGGAAAUUCAGGCUUGGGUAGCUCAGGAAGCGAUGGCAAUUCGACUUUCGGUAGUGAUGAGAAUUCCGGCUUUGGCAAGCUAGGGAUGUCAGGAAGUUGAGGCAAUUCGGGCUUCGGCAAUUCCGGCACUUUUAACAACUCUGGCUUUGGUAUUGCUGGAAAUUCAGGCUUUGGCAGUUCAGGAAGCGGCGGCAAUUCGACUUUUGGCAAUGAUGGGAAUUCGGGCUUUGGCAAGCUAGGGAUGUCAAGAAGGUGAGGUAAUUCAGGCUUUGGCAAUUCGGGCACUUCAGGCAAGGUCGCCUCCAAAAGUUGGCGAGCUCUGACUGGGUUCUCACCAAUCGUCAAAGACAGAGCGAGGACAAACAAUGCCAAAAGGUGCGCGAGUCCAUGAUGGUUCGUCAUUGGAGAAUCAAUCGACUAGCAAAUUCAAAAGCUUUGAGUGAAGAAGCGGCGAAUCUCAAGUGAGAGAAGGUGCAGGUGUGCUUGAGCAAUGGCUUGAUGUAGGGCUUAUAAGGAGGAGGGACGUGGGGGAUUGGGGAGAUUGCAAGUAUGGUUUGGUGGGAAUAUUAUCAAAGGGUUAGGUCAACUUCUAAACCAGUCUCAAUUUUGUACGUUAAACAGCAAGAUGGAGGAUAUUAUUCCAAAGAGGAGCUUGCCAAUUCUUGGCUUUUCAAGCUUCUGACUACCUGUCGAGGCGAGAAAGAGAGAGAGAAAAGAAAAGAAAAGAAAGGAAAUGGUUUAUGAUCUCAUUAUGUAUAACAGGACCGGAGUCUUGGGGACUUAGAAGCUUAGAGAAGUCAAUAAAGUAAGAGCAAACAAGUAAAUGUUGUCCGUGAUCAUUAUUCGUGGAAUCUUUACUUGAUGUAAGGAUUACUUAAGCGGUCAGCAUGUAUCUUUUGAUUCGGGGCCUAGGUUCGAAUCCCUACAAUUGUGUACUCUUUUGGACGAUCCUUGAGAGCAUAUACAUGUAUGAAUCCGAUAAUUUCUUGAUUUGUGUGGGAUCAAACUACUCUUGCUGGAAAAAAUAAAAUAAAAAGAAAACAAAAAACAAAACUUUGGGUGACAAUUUUUUAGGGACAGACAUAAAAAGAGAUUCCUAAAUAGAGCUUCUAGCUUGGGGUGAAUUCUAAGGUUGGUCUAGGUUUCAACCUAUCUAGAACAUGGAAUUUACCCCGUUAAGACCGGUUUCCCAUUUUUGGAAUUUGAAACCUAUCAUAUAUAUCUUAAAACUUGUGACUUGCUCUAUCAAUUGGAUCCAAAGUCUAUCAAGAGUCGGCCGAUUUCUCUUCUUUCUUUCUUUUUUCUGUUUUUUUGGUUUCAUUUUAGUCAAGCAAAAUGAGAGUGAACAUAACAACAAAAAUCAUCGUUUGUCAAUAACAAUAAUCUAUAAAAUAUGAACACCUAAAAUAAAAUAAAUAAAUAAAAGUUCAAAAUGCGUAAAAAGAUUCAAAAACCACGAUAAAAACCAAGGAGUCACAAUCGAAUGAAGGAACUUUCUUUCAUUCAAGCCUCAUGUAAUACCGUGCAUGUUAUGCUCUAUUUUAGGAUUACUUGGUUCCUGUUCUAGUUCUUUGAUUUUCAGUCCAAUUCGUUGGUUCUCAGUUCAAUUCUAUUCAAUUCUUAAGAGGAAAUCGGGAAUUUGAAUCACAUAGUACAAGUUCCAAAAAAUAUGAAUUCGGAAAUCGGACCAUUCCCGUUAGAACCUAGAUGCAUGCUGAUUCCCAUGGCAUGUUUGGUCUUUCCUGAUUAUACCUGCUCACCCUCAACUUCUAGUUCCAUUCCUAUGGAAACAUUGAAGGAGCUGUCAUUAAUGAUAGGGGUGUAAAUAGUUUGGUUCGGUUUGGUUUUUUUUAAAAACCGAACCAAAUCAAAUCAAUAAGGAAAUUUAUUGAAUCGAACUGAAAUUCGAUUCAAAUGAAAACUGAACCGAACUUGGAUUUUACUUUUGUUUUGUUUUCUCCCUGGCCCUUUCAAUAAAUUUUUAUUUUUUAGAAAAAUCAUUUUUAAUUAUAUUUAAUUCUUUUUCUUUUUCUUCUUCUUCUUCUUCUUUUUCAUUGGCUGGUCGCUGAUGACCACCGUAGGCGGCAACUAGCCAAUGAAGAAGAAAAAGACGAAAAAGAAGAAAAACCAAAAAUGAUUAAUUAAAAAAAUAAAAUGAAUUUUUUUAAAAUUUUAUUGGUUUGAUUCAGUUAACCAAAUUGAUAUAAUUAAAAUCAAACCGAAUGAUAACAAAAUCGAGAAAAAUCAAACUUUUUAGUUCAAUUCGGUUUGAUUCAGUUCGGUUUUUGACACUCCUAAUUAAUAGGCUAGCGGAUAAAUCAACAUGAAAACUUCAAGGGAAAUCCCAACCUGAAAUAAGAAAAGCGAAGCCCAUCGCAAAAAGAGAAGCCCAGCCCAACUCACACUCUGAUUUUCUCCCGGCCUCUCCCUCUCCCACUCUGCCCUGCAAAAGCUCAGCUCGAAUUUCUCUCGGUCUCUCCAUCGCACCCCAGCUGCAGCUCGUCGAUCUCGCGGACGAGAGCGUCUUCGGACCAGGAUUCCCCGUCGGCUUUCUUCUUCACGGUCUCCGCAGGUCACUGUUGUUGCCUCCCUCUCUCUCUCUCUCUCUCUCUUUCUUUCUCGCGCAUUUCACUGGCCAAUGUGGGGAAACCAUUCGCGAAGCGGUGGACUUGGGCGGAUGUUUCGAUCGUGGGUUGUGGGAGUUACCGGGUCGGGUCCUUCGUUUCCCCUUAUCUUGUCACUUUUGGGGGGGCAUAGCUCAUCUGGGUUGCUCAUGCCAGAGAGCUAACCCGGCGUGGUUGUAGGCGGUUCGGUGUCUUGUGAGUCCCUGCCCACCUUGUGUUUGCCAUAAUGUUUCGCUGGAUUUAUGCGGAGCAGGAGGAGAGUUGUCCCUUGCAUUGGAUUCCUCCGUGUGUUGGGAGUGAAAUUUAAAAGAACAGGCUUCGAGAACGUCUUGACUUUGCAUACGUGGAAAUGUGAUGAAGAUAAUUCGUGCGAAAGUUUUCAUGAAUAUUGUAAGGGAUGUUCUAUGAUGUGGAAGGUAGCGCAUUCCCAUUACCCUUGUGAUGGGAUCGCCUUUAUGUUUUGAUGUGAACUAAUAUUUCGUUCAACUCUAUAUGUUGCAUGAAAGGUGGUAAACCCAUUGUCAAACAAUGACGAAAUCUCCGCCCCUUUGCUCUCAAUAAGUUAUGUAAAUGUCAUUUGAGGGUUCUGAUGGUGAGGUUCUUGUUUUCAGUUUCAAACUCUGAAUGAAAGCACGUCCACAUCAUCAUCAUCUAUGUCGUUGAUUAGGCGCCUAACUCCAUCCUUUGCUGGUCACACUCAAGAGAACCAUAGGCUUUUGAGCCCUUCUUCUUCUUCAGUGUUUCAUGGAGCCUUUUCUACUGCAUCGCAGUCUCUAGAUGAUGCACACACAAAGGAUGGUAACAUGCGGGUACAUUCUUUCUUGAUAUCCUCAAGAAAACUAUUCACUUAAGAAACAUAUAUUGGUGUGUUAUGUCAUAUGCUCUUGGUGCCAAACAUAUUAUUUUGUUACCUUCAAACUCUGAUUGCUUUACUGUGCAUUCUGAAUUAUUCUUCUUCAUUUUCUCUGUUAUUGGAUCCAAUUCGUUUUACACUGUCUGCUUGUCAUAACUUGAGGAAUGAAAACUUUCCUUGUUUAAAUGGUACAAAGACAAAAGAAAUGGAGGGAGAAUAGAAGAAAAUUUAGAUUCCUUCGAGGACCACAAAACACAUUCUCCCAAAGAUGGGGAGGAAAUGAAAGGAAAUGCUUCCAAGACCCCUCUUGUUUCCUAUUGCUCUUAUUUUUUUGUAAAAUAGGGAAUUAUAUUUGACAAAAGUUAUUUUAGUCUAUUAAUUUCUUUUAUAUCCCUCAUAGCCUUUUAUUUUGACAUAUAUACAGGUCAAUUAGUCUUUGUCUAGUCAUUUUGUCGGAGAAGAUAAAUGUUUUGGAAUGAAGUUAUAAAAUCAUAAGUCGGGUCGGGGUGAUGUGAAAAUUAGUUCCAAGAGUUUCUCACUGUGCUUUGGAAACCGAAAUGAGAGAAAUCCUAUAAUCAUAUUUUGGUUAGUAGCUUCGUGGCAAUGAACAUAGUAAGCAUUAAAUUUCCAUUUGCCAAUUCACAUGGACAACCAACUUAAUCCAUCAAUAAGGUCGAAUUUGGCAUUUGAUGGAUAUUGGAUCUCAUUUGGUUGAGCUGUAUUGCCAAUUUCAGGUGAAUCUCUUCCUUGUAAUUUCCCUAAUGGUUUCUAUGUGUCUACUUUCAGGUGAAGCCACCAUCAAAGAAUCUCCCUCAAAUUGUAAAACCCACUCCCAGACCUCUUCAACCAUCUUCUUCACCACCUCCCUCUCUUCUCUCAGACCUCAAGCUGCCCUCUCUAUCUCCAUUACCAACCCUGACUCUCUCUAUAACCAAUCAUGAUAAUCUGAUGAACUUUCUUAAGUCUAAACUCUCUUUCCCUCUCACACCCAGGAGUCUCCUCCACUUCCUCAAGUGCAAACUCCACCCCAACCCUCAUUUGACCCUCUAUGACUUUUAUAUAUUCAGUUGGGCCUCCACGAUUGACUCCUAUCGCCAUGACCACUCAACAUUUGAGUGGAUGGCUCGCACUCUCGCUAUUUCAAGCCGUUUCGCGCAACUCAAUUCACUUCUCCAGUUCAUGGCCUCAAACCCUUGCCCUUGCUCUGAUGGAAUUUUCUCAUGCCCCAGGACAGAGCCAAUCUUUCAAUUCUCAAUAGAAGCUUAUUGCAGAGCUCAGAAACUAGAGGAAGCAGUGAUUGCUUUUGAGAGUAUGGAGAAGAUGAUUGAUGGCAGGCCGAGUGCGGUGAGUUAUAAUGCUUUGAUUCAUGGAUUUGUGAAAUGGGGUGACCAUGCCAGGGCUCUGGCCAUCUAUGAUCAAAUGAUAAGGAACAGAGUCAAGCCUAAUGUGAUAACCUUUAAUAUCUUGAUUAGUAGUUAUUGUAGAAGUUCACAGUUUGGAUUGGCUUUGGAGGUGUUUAAGGAGAUGAAGGAGAAGGGUUGCAGCCCAGAUGUGGUCAGUUUCAAUACUUUGAUCAGGGGGUUUUUUCGGGAGAGGAAGUUUGAGGAUGCGAUCGCAAUGGCUUAUGAGAUGAUCGAACUGGGGUGCCAGUUGUCGAGUGUGACUUGUGAGAUUUUGGUCGAUGGCCUAUGUAGGGAAGGUAAAGUGGCUGAGGCAUGUGAAUUGCUGAUUGGUUUUUCAAGUAAAAGAGUGUUGCCUGAGGAGUAUGAUUAUUUUGGCCUUGUGGAAGCUUUGUGCAGUUCAGGCAAUUCUCAUAGAGCACUUGAUGUUGUUACUGAUCUGUGGAAGACAGGGAAUAUUCCAAGCUUGAUUGCUUGUACUACUUUGGUGGAAGGAUUGAGGAAGCAGAAGAAAAGGGAAGAAGCACUUGCUUUGAUGGAAAAUAUGCUUAAAGAAGGUAUUGUACCAGACAUUGUGACGUUUAAUUGUUUGCUUGAGGAUCUUUCUGAUAUAGGGAAGACUGUGGAAGCAAACAAAUUGAGGUUGUUGGCGCAAAGCAAGGGUUUGGAACCAGAUGGCAUGAUGUACAGGAUUCUGGUAUCUGGUUUUACAAGAGAAAGAAAGAGAAAGGAGGGCCAGAUUCUGGUAGAUGAGAUGUUAGACAAGGACUUUAUACCUGAUCUUGCAACGUACAAUAGAUUGAUUGAUGGACUUUCAAACUCAAAAAUUACUUCUAGGAAGAAAGGUUGAAGAUGGGUUAGGAUCUUAUUCUUUUCACCUUGGUUUCUGGAAUGCUGGCAUCUGUUUGCAAACCCCCUCAUGCUUUGUGCUUGGUUUGCCAAUCAGUUUUAUCACUUUGGGACAAAGCCGGUUUAGGCUACGUUUCAGAUGGUUGAGGACAAUGUACAGCCUGGGAGCGAGCAGAACAGAUAAUGGUACGUGCACAAAACAACGAGUGGAAAGGAAUGGAAACUUCGCAUUGAGUUGUACGAAUUGUAAAGCCAGGAGAGUAGAUUGUGAUGCUCAGCAAGAGAUGAUGCGGAUGAGUAGUGCCCAGACGACAUCUAGGAGGUAUGAAUCAUGGUAACAGUGAUAAGUAUUAAUCCUAAGAUAUGAGAGAGUUGGAAAGUUUGAGUGACUGAGAAUAGUUUAUUUGGAUUAUGUUUAUAUAUAGACAUAAAAGCUGCAGAAGAUCAACAUUGAAUUUUCUGGCAGAUCUCAAACUGACACCAAAUCUAAUGAGGAAAAGCUUAGGGUAGAAAAUUCAUGCAAAUUCUGAAUUGGGCUCUGCUAUAUAUAUGAUAUAACUUGUGUGAGAUGGACCCUGGCAAAGAGAUUUCUUAGGAUUGAAAGUAAUGCAGAAAAGAGAAGGCAAGAGCCAAAGCUGUUAAAACAAAGUAUAAAAUCAUAAACUAUCAGGUUGGCAAAGCUGUCAAGUACUCGAUGUUGAUAGAACAAAUUAGGCACUUUACAUUUGGUUUGGUGGUGACACUGCCCUAUUAAUGCCCUUUUUCUGUGCUCCUCAUCGAUGAAUCAGUUGAUGAGAAAAAUAAUCCCCUAACUUCAUAAAUUCGGUAAGACAAAAACUCCAUGUGUGGCUCAAAUAUAAGAUUGUUUGAACUUGAUGAUAUAAUCGGUAUGCAUUAUCCAUGUAUACAUAUCUUUCUUUGUUCAGUGGGUGCAAGUCCUGCCAUUAAACUUUAGUUUUACAUUUUAUUAAAUGUAACACCAUAAAAAAGUUUUAUCUCACUAAAAAGCUCUGGACCCUCUAGAUUACCAAAUUAAGACGACUCGUUUCAACUUUUUAACAGAGGAUAGAUUCAAAUCACAGCACUUGUUUUGGAUUUUUCUUUAUGAGACGAAAAUUAGUAUUUUGGAUUUUUGUUAGGCUAAAAUUUUCGAGUAAACGUAUCAUGAGAGCACAAAAAAAUUUUGGGGGGAGGGGGGGGGGGGGGGAAGUAAAUCUACAUAACAAACAUCACUUCAUAUCACAAACUGUCAUAAUCAAGUACAUGUAUAGGAUCUGAGGCAUGCUUAGAUCAUUACAAUAGACAGGGAUAACAUUAGUGAAUCACGUGAUAGUAUAGCCCAAUGGCGAACUCGCUACAUAGCUUCAAGGUGUAGUAGUGAAAACAGACAUGUCUUUCGGAAUUGUGGGAACAAAUGGUAGCGUUGGCUUAGGGAAAUCGGGGAAAUGAGGUAGUUCGAGCACUUUUGGUAAUUAUGGCUUCGGUAUUGUUGGUAAUUCAGGCUUUGGAAGUUCAGGAACCGACGGCAAUUCAACUUUUGGCAAAGAUGGCAAUUCUGGCUUGGGUAGGCUCGGAAUGUCGGGAAGGUGAGGCAAUUCGGGCUUAGGUAAUUCAGGCACUUCAGGCACUUCAGGCAAUUCUGGCUUGGGCAAGCUCACAAUGUCGGGAAGAUGAGGCAAUUCGGGUUUGGGCAGUUCAGGCACUUCUGGUAAUUCUGGUUUUGGUAUUGUUGGUAAUUCAGGCUUUGGAAGUUCAGGAACCGACGGCAAUUCAACUUUUGGCAAAGAUGGCAAUUCUGGCUUGGGUAGGCUCGGAAUGUUGGGAAGGUGAGGCAAUUCAGGCUUAGGUAAUUCAGGCACUUCAGGCAAUGCUAACUUCAAAAGUUGGCGAGCUUCAACAGAAUUCUCGCCGAUCAUCAAGGACAGAGCAAGGACAAACAAUCCCAAAAUGUGCACAAACCUGUGAUAGUUUGCCAUGAUGGAAUUGACUAGCGAAAUGAAGAACUUCGAUGGUGAGGAGCUAUGAAUCUCAAGUGAAGAUGGUGGCGGUGUGUUUGAGGGAUGGCUUGGUUGGGGUUUUUAAAGAGGGGGACGUGGAGAUUAGGGAGAUUGCAAGUAUGUUUUGGUAGGAAAACUAGCAGAGUGUUAGCUCAACUUCGAAACCAAUUUCAUUUCCAUAUGUUCAACACGAUUUGAGCAAAUUAAACAAUCCCAGAAUGAUCUUGCCAACUCUAGGCUUCAAAAGCAUGUAAUGUAACCAUCAGCUGUAUUAUUUUGGUUAGAAAAAAGCCAAAAAGAAUCUUACUCUGCACAAGUAUGUUUUCUUUUCAAUUUUUUCUCACUAACUUAAUUUUUGACUUACAUUCAGUGGACCAAGUUGAAAAGGGUCAUUUAAACUUAUAUAAAAUAGAUUUAAAAUGGUUAAGAAAAACAAACCCAACUAGAUGUGGACUUUAAUGGUUCGGACCAAAUUCAUUUUAAUCAAACGAAAUAAAGAAUCGGCAAUAAAAAAUACAAGACAGGUCAUCUUGGGUUUUAAUGGAUUGGGAUUGAACUCAUUUGAUUCAAAUAAUAGAUUUCGAUUGAACUCAUUUGAUUCAAACUAAGAAAAUUAAGAGGAGAGGAGAGGGAUAUCACGUUUACUUUCCUUCCUUCUAUUUGCAUGUGGGAAAACACCAAAAAAGUUAUAAAUAUAUUGUAUUUGUGUCAAUUAUGUUAUAAAUAUAUUGCAUUGUGUCAAUUCAAUCUUAGGCCGUUUAAUUAGAUUAAUUUGUCCUAAAUAUUUUGUUGGUGCCAACUAGUUCACGUGGACGCUUGUCAUAUAGCUGACACUAACAUUAACAUUUUUAAUAAUUUUUAAUAUUUUUUAAUUUUUUAAUUUCUUUUUCUUCCUUUGAUUUGGCCAGCCGGAGGAGAAGGCAUUCGUGCCCUUGUUUGCAGCCAGCUGCGAGUAAGGGUGUAAGAAGUCCCUCGCCCAAGCCCCACCCAAAUUGACCCUCAAGAAUGGUUAGGCCCUAACCGGCCAAAAUGGAAGAAAGAAAAAUAUAAACAAUAAUUCACAAAAAUUAAAUUGAAAAAAUUAUCCAUGUAAGGACCAAUCAUGCUACAUAGGAUGGCUAGUUAGCAAUUUUCAGCCAAAUUUGAUCAAAUAAACUGAAUUGACACAAACGUAAAUAAUUUAAAAUAAAAUUGGUUCAAUUGAAAGAUUUAUGAUUGAAUUAGUCAUAAUACAAUAAGUAUAUAUAUAUUUUUUUAAAUUCUCCGCGCCAGAACAUAGAGGUGUCAAAAUGGGUCAUUAACCCAUUUAUGUUUAAAUGGGUCGUUAAUGGGUCAAGCCUAUUUCCUAAAGCACCUAUAAUGAGUUUUAAUGGGUUAAGACUGAGAUAUAUGAGUUAAGACCAAUUUAUCAACCCAUUGAAAAUGAAAUUAUUUAUUUUCACCCAAAAACUCACAAUUUCUAUCUUCUCUAUUUAACUUUACAAAAAUAUUUUUUUAAAAGAAACCAAAAUUAUAAUUAUUUUUUUAUUUUUUAUUUUUUCUUUCUUUUUCUUCAUCUAGUCGCUGGCACGGCGAUGGCCGGCGACCGGCCAAGCAAGAGCCUCGCCAAUCUGGCGAGACUCAAACUUGCCGGCGUCAAGCGAGGCUCGAGCUUGAGCUCGCUAGACGCCGACAAGCCUCAAGCUCGCCAGAUCUGGUGAGGCAAAGGCCCCGCUGACAUUCGGCGACGCUUGAGUCUUGCUAGAUCUAGCGAGGGGUGAGCUCAAGCUCGCUCGACGCCGGCAAGCCUCGAGCUUGCCAAAUCUGGCGAGGGGCGAGCUCAAGCUCGCUCAACGCCGGUGAGCCUCGAGCUCACCGGAUCCGGCAAGGUAGAGGCCUCACCAACAUCGACGAGCCAGGCGAGCUCCUGGUCGCCUGUGGCCGGCCGCCGGCUGUCGUCAUGGCCGGCGGCCGGCCAAAGAAGAAGAAGAACAAAAAAUAAAAUUUAAAAUUUAAAAUUAUAUUUAAAAAAUAAAAAUAAAUAAAAAAUUAAUUUAAAAAAUAAAAAAUAAUUAAAAUUCGAUUUUUUAAAAUAUAUUUUUAAAAAAUUAUAAAAUUUGUCCAUUAAAUUUGCGUUGUAUAAAAUUAUUUUAGCAAUACUAUAAUAUAUAUAAGCUUUCUUAAGUUUAGUUAAAUGGGUCGGGUAUGGAUAGGGUAUGAGUCAACAAAUUUGUAUUGUAAUAAUUGGUCAUAAACAGAUUAAAUGGGUCGAUUUGGGUUGGACCAUUUAUGACCCAACCAAAACCCGACUCGACCCACCUGUUUAACGGGUAUACCAGAACAUCAAUGACAAUGUUGCUACCGCCACUAGGCAACAACCAUCGGAUAAUAGAAGACCCAGCAAUGUUGUCAUAGUUAGCAUUAUCAACAUUCUCGUUGGUGUUAGCCUCAACAAAAGAACAAAGCACCAUGAUCGCGGUGCCCAUCAUGAACUUCAUUGUCAUUGGGUAUUAGGGAAAUCCCUUAGGAUGUUUUAAAAAAGAUAAAAUAAAUCAAAGGUUAAUAAUGUGUUUAAUAAGAAUUUUUUUUUUUUUUUUGUAAAAUAGGGAGGGGGGGGGAAAUGAAAGGAAAUGCUUGCAAGACCCCUCUUGUUUCCAAUUUCUCUUUUUUUUUUGUUGUAAAAUAGGGAAUUAUUUUCAACAAAAGUUAUUUUAGUCUAUUAAUUUCUUUUAUAUCCCUCAUAGCCUUUUAUUUUGACAUAUAUACAGGUCACUUAGUCUUUGUCUAGUCAUUUUGUCCGAGACGAUAAAUGUUUUGGAAUGAAGUUAUAAAAUCAUAAGUCGGGUUGGGGUGAUGUGAAAAUUAGUUCCAUGAGUUUCUCACCGUGCUUUGGAAACCGAAAUGAGAGAAAUCCUAUAAUCAUAUAUUGAUUAGUAGCUUCGUGGCAAUGAACAUAGUAGCAUUAAAUUCCCAUUUGCCAAUUCACAUGGACAACCAACUUAAUCCAUCAAUAAGUUCGCAUUUGGCAUUUGAUGGAUAUUGGAUCUCAUUUGGUUGAGCUGUAUUGCCAAUUUCAGGUGAAUCUCUUCCUUGUAAUUUCCCUAAUGGUUUCUAUAUGUCUACUGUCAGGUGAAGCCACCAUCAAAGAAUCUCCCCAAAAUUGUAAAACCCACUCCCAGACCUCUUCAACCAUCUUCUUCACCACCUCCCUCUCUUCUCUCAGACCUCAAGCUGCCCUCUCUAUCUCCAUUACCAACCCUGACUCUCUCUAUAACCGAUCAUGAUAAUCUGAUGAACUUUCUUAAGUCCAAACUCUCUUUCCCUCUCACACCCAGGAGUCUCCUCCACUUCCUCAAGUGCAAACUCCACCCCAACCCUCAUUUGACCCUCUAUGACUUUUAUAUAUUCAGUUGGGCCUCCACGGUUGACUCCUAUCGCCAUGACCACUCAACAUUUGAGUGGAUGGCUCGCACUCUCGCUAUUUCAAGCCGUUUUGAGCAACUCAAUUCGCUUCUCCACUUCAUGGCCUCAAACCCUUGCCCUUGCUCUGAUGGAAUUUUCUCAUGCCCCAGGACAGAGCCAAUCUUUCAAUUCUCAAUAGAAGCUUAUUGCAGAGCUCGGAAACGAGAGGAAAGCAGUGAUUGCUUUUGAGAGUAUGGAGAAGAUGAUUGAUGGCAGGCCGAGUGCGGUGAGUUAUAAUGCUUUGAUUCAUGGAUUUGUGAAAUGGGGUGACCAUGCCAGGGCUCUGACCAUCUAUGAUCAAAUGAUAAGGAACAGAGUCAAGCCUAAUGUGAUAACCUUUAAUAUCUUGAUUAGUAGUUAUUGUAGAAUAUUACAGUUUGGAUUGGCUUGGUGGUGUUUAAGGAGAUGAAGGAGAAGGGUUGCAGCCCAGAUGUGGUCAGUUUCAAUACUUUGAUCAGGGGGUUUUUUCGGGAGAGGAAGUUUGAGGAUGCGAUCGCAAUGGCUUAUGAGAUGAUCGAACUGGGGUGCCAGUUGUCGAGUGUGACUUGUGAGAUUUUGGUCAAUGGCCUCUGUACGGAAGGUAAAGUGGCUGAGGCAUGUGAAUUGCUGAUUGGUUUUCCAAGUAAAAGAGUGUUGCCUGAGGAGUAUGAUUAUUUUGGCCUUGUGGAAGCUUUGUGCAGUUUAGGCAAUUCUCAUAGAGCACUUGAUGUUGUUACUGAUCUGUGAAAGACGGGAAAUAUUCCAAGCUUGAUUGCUUGUACUACUUUGGUGAAAGGGUUGAGGAAGCAGAAGAAAAGGGAAGAUGCACUUGCUUUGAUGGAAAAUAUGCUUAAAGAAGGUAUUGUACCAGACAUUGUGACGUUUAAUUGUUUGCUUGAGGAUCUUUCUGAUAUAGGGAAGACUGUGGAAGCAAACAAAUUGAGGUUGUUGGCGCAAAGCAAGGGUUUGGAACCAGAUGGCAUGAUGGACAGGGUUCUGGUAUCUGGUUUUACGAGAGAAAGAAAGAGAAAGGAGGGCCAGAUUCUGGUAGAUGAGAUGUUAGACAAGGACUUUAUACCUGAUCUUGCAACGUACAAUAGAUUGAUUGAUGGACUUUCAAACUCAAAAAUUACUUCUAGGAAGAAAGGUUGAAGAUGGGUUAGGAUCUUAUUCAUUUCAACUUGGUUUCUGGAAUGCUGGCAUCUGUUUGCAAACACCCUCAUGCUUUGUGCUUGGUUUGCCAAUCAGUUUUAUCACUUUGGGACAAAGUGGGUUUAUGGCUAUGUUUCAGAUGGUUGAGGACAAUGUACAGCCUGGGAGCGAACAGAACAGAUACUGGUACGUGCACAAAACAACGAGUGGAAAGGAACGGAAACUUCGCAUUGAGUUGUACGAAUUGUAAAGCCAGGAGAGCAGAUUGUGAUGCUCAGCAAGAGAUGAUGCGGAUAAGUAGUGCCCAGACGACAUCUAGGAGGUAUGAAUCAUUGUAACGGUGAUAAGCAUUAAUCCUAAGAUAUGAGGGAGUUGGAAAGUUUGAGUGACUGAGAAUAGUUUAUUUGGAUUAUGUUUGUAUAUAGACGUGAUUAAUAAUGAUACCAAUGAGCGUGUAUAUUAUAAAAGCUGCAGAAGAUCAACAUUGAAUUUUCUGGCAGAUCUCAAACUGACACCGAUUAAUCUAAUGAGGAAAAGCUUAGGGUAGAAAAUUCAUGCAAAUUCUGAAUUGGGCUCUGCUAUAUAUAUAUGAUAUAACUUGUGUGAGAUGGACCCUGGCAAAGAGAUUUCUUAGGAUUGAAAGUAAUGCUGAAAAGAGAAAGCAAGAGCCAAAGCUGUUAAAACAAAGUAUAAAAUCAUAAACUAUCAGGUUGGCAAAGCUGUCAAGUACUCGAUGUUGAUAGAACAAAUUAGGCACUUUACAUUUGGUUUGGUGGUGACACUGCCCUAAUAAUGCCCUUUUUCUGUGCUCCUCAUCGAUGAAUCGGUUGAUGAGAAAAAUAAUCCCCUAACUUCAUAAAUUCGGUAAGACAAAAACUCCAUGAGUGGCUCAAGUAUAAGAUUGUUUGAACUUGAUGAUAUAAUCGGCAUGCCUUAUCCAUGCAUACAUAUCUUUAGUGUGUGCAAGUGCUGCCAUUAAACUUUAGUUUUACAUUUUAUUAAAUGUAACACCAUAAAAAAGUUUUAUCUUGCUAAAAAGCUCUGGACCCUCUAGAUUACCAUAUUAAGACGACUCGUUUCAACUUUUUAACAGAGGAUAGAUUCAAAUCACGGCACUUGUUUAGGAUUUUUCUUUAUGAGACGAAAAUUAGUAUUUUGGAUUUUUGAUAGGCUAAAUUUUUGGAGUAAAUGUAUCAUGAGAGCACAAUUUUUUUUUUGUUUUUGGGGGAGGGGGGUUGGGUUUUGAGACGAAAAUUAGUUUGAGGUACAUGUAUCGUAGGAUACGAAUUUGGGAUUUUUAGUCAUAUUAACCCUUGGCAUAAUGAUAUAUACAUAUAUAUAUUUAUGUAAUUUUGGAUGUCAAACACCAAAUUUAUCCUUCUUUAUGAUUUCUUAAAGUAAAUCUACAUAACAAACAUCACUUCAUAUCACAAACUGUCAUAAUCAAGUACAUGUAUAGGAUCCGAGGCAUGCUCAGAUCAUUACAAUAGACAGAGACAACAUUAGUGAAUCACAUGAUAGUGUAACCCAACAGCGAACUCGCUACAUAGCUUCAAGGAGUAGUAGUGGAAACAGACAUGUCUUUCGGAAUUGUGGGAACGACUGGUAGUGUUGGCUUAGGGAAAUCGAGGAGAUGAGGUAGUUCGGGCACUUUUGGUAAUUCUGGCUUCGGUAUUGCUGUUAAUUCUGGCUUGGGCAAUUCAGGAAGCGAUGGCAAUUCGACUUUUGGCAAAGAUGGCAAUUCGACUUUUGGCAAAGAUGGCAAUUCAGGCUUUGGCAGUUCAGGGAGCGGCGGCAAUUCGGCUUUUGGUAG
RNAcentral lists this long non-coding RNA (66394 nucleotides) under Eucalyptus grandis. RNAcentral's name for it is "long non-coding RNA (EGRA_LNC004134)". The record is from RNAcentral. Lineage: Eukaryota; Viridiplantae; Streptophyta; Magnoliopsida; Myrtales; Myrtaceae.